This 54274-nucleotide long non-coding RNA is filed under the name Gossypium barbadense (sea-island cotton). Its description in RNAcentral is "long non-coding RNA (GBAR_LNC003342)". The stretch from base 30155 to 30224 matches the Rfam family "tRNA". Lineage: Eukaryota; Viridiplantae; Streptophyta; Magnoliopsida; Malvales; Malvaceae. The record is from RNAcentral.
UUUUUUUUUCUAUUUGAUGGGGAUGAUACUCGGCCAUGGAUGUUGUCAUUCUUGCUUGGUGUUGAUGUUGUGUUGAUGAGGUAUCAAGUUAUUUUAGUAACCCAUGUCAAAAUUAUGAAAAUCAUGGUAUGGUGUCUUGAGCAUUCGGCCAUGGUAGGAAGUAGAAGAGAAAUAUGGUUGUUGUUCAUGUUAUUUGGAUGAAAAGAAAAGGGGUUAGUAGUUAGAUGAAGUAGAGUCUAACAAAUGAGCACAUAUGUGCAUUAGUUGCUAGAUGGAGAAAAUUGGCUAGCAAGUUAUGUACUAAGGCCGAAUAUGAUUUUGAACAUUAUUGAGUAAUGUAUGUGUUUUGAAUUGAUGGAAUGGAGAGGAUGCUUUAAUUGUGUUAUGCACAAAUAUAUGUUAAAUUAAGGUUUGCUAAGCUAGCUAUUAAGGUGAAGUGCAAAUGUUAGUAUUUGAUUACUAGUGUAUAUAUGUGUAUUAGCCGAGUUUUGAACUUGAAACAAAAUGGUAUUUAGUCAAUACAAGUGACCAUAUUUGUAGAAUGUAUUAAGUAUACAAUCGGCCUCAACAUAGACAUGCAUAUUCGGCCACAUGAAUGAAUACAUAGGUUGAUGUGUACGUUCGGCUAUAGGUAAGCAUAUUGAUGGCUUUAUCUUGACUUAGAAAAAUCGGCUAAAGGGGAAUAUUGGCAAACAUGUUGAAAUUGAUUCAUGAUUUCAUACAUAUAUGACUCUAAUGCCUAAUAUACAUAGGCUAAGUACCUUGAGUUUCUCUUUGAUGUUCAAAAUGAUUAAAUCAAUUUAUUUGUUAAAUUAAGCUCAAGAACAAAGGGGAACUAAAUCCGAUAAAGGAAAGGAAAAGGUGAUCGAAUAGCCGUUGAAAUCGUUCGACAACAUCCGAGGUAAGUUUUCGAGUAAUGGAACUUAGAUUAUGAUUCGAUUAGAUCAUGUUAUGAGCAAAUCAAAAUCAUGUUCUUUGUAUGUAGCUAUUGAGCCGAAAAUGAUAAUUCUUGAUAAGUGACUUUUGUUUGAAUUCUAGUUAUGAAAAUGAAAUAUAGAUGUGUCAUGAUUUAUUGAUAUGUGCAUGAAUAUUCGGAUGAUAACCGGGCUAAGUCCCGAAGGCAUUUGUUCUAGUGACUAAUUCCGGGCUAAGCCCCGAAGGCAUUUGUGCUAGUGACUAAUUCCGGGCUAAGCCCCGAAGGCAUUUGUGCGAGUUACUAUAUCCGGGCUAAGUCCCGAAGGCAUUUGUGCGAGUUACUAUAUCCGGGCUAAGUCCCGAAGGCAUUUGUACGAGUUACUAUAUCCAGGCUAAGUCCCGAAGGCAUUUGUGCGAGUUACUAUAUCCGGGCUAAGUCCCGAAGGCAGUUGAGCGAGUAGCUAUAUCCGGCUAAAUCUCGAAGGUACUUGGUUUGGGAAUGAGCGAUCUUUCUGUAAUAAUUUAAAUUAAUACGCUCGUAAAAUCCCAACGAUGAGGUAUGUUUCGUAUAUGCAUUAGAAUAGUUGAUUCCUUUUAAAUAGUAUUCGCUUAGUCGAUUAAUAAGCUUCCGACCUUUGGUUAAGUUGAUCCCUUAUGUAUGAAUAUAAGGGUUGGAAAUGUGAAGUAGGUAUGAUUUUGAGAAUAUGUGUAUAUGAAAUUAUCCGUUUAGUCAUAUGAAUGCUAUACUUCAGUUGUGCCUAAUUUCAUUGCUCAAAACUUACUAAGCAUUAAAUGCUUAUUCCGUUUCUUCGAUUCUCUGUUUUAUAGAUUUUGGUUCGUCAGCUAUCGAACUCGGGAGUGUCAAAGUCGAAGUCGCCCACACUAUCAAAGCCCUUUUGGUACUCUUUUAGUUGAACUCUGAUAAUGGCAUGUAUAGGGCUGCCCUUUUGUUGUUAGUCAAGUACUUUGGUAUUGUAUAUAUUUGGAUAGCCAUGCGAAAAUGGCUUAUAUAUUUUGAGCAUAGCGUUAUAAUCGUUUUGUAUAUAUAUGGUUGUUGAGAGGUGUGGAAAUGCUUGGCAAUGAUUAGCCAUUGGAAUGGUUAAUCACGAUCAUAUUUUUGUGCUAUGUAUGUAAAAGGGCUAGUUGAAUCAUGGAAAUUAUGAAAUAGGUAAAGUCUACCUUAAAAACAGAUACCGACAGCAGCAGUGAUGUGAAUUUGAAAAAUCACUAAAAAUAGUAGGAAUAGAAUUAAAUUGUGAAUAAAUUAUGUAAUCGAACCUUGAUGAAUCUAUUUUCAUAUGAAAGUAACGAAAUGAUCAUAUGAACCAUAUUUUAUGAGAUGUUUAAGUUUUCGUGAAACAGCACCAGAGUAAUUUCUGGAUCCCCUGUUCUGAAUUUGGAAAUUCAUUAUAAAUUAACCAGAGAUAAUUAGAAUUCAUAACAUAUAUGUAUAGAUUCCUUUUCAAGUCUAGUUUCUUUAGAAACAAACGGAAUAAGUAUUGAAGCCCUGUAAAGGGAGAUAUCUAAGUCGUAAUGCAUGAAGGUCAGAGUAGUAGAACCCUGAAAUAGGGGAGACUUUAACUAAUAAACUGUACUAAUUGGCUUGACCAAAAAUUAUAGAAAAAAAUUUUUAGAUGGACAUAUGAGUCUAGUUUCAGGAAAAAUUUACAGAACUGGUUUUCGAGUUUUGAACCUUGAGAUAUGAUUUUUAAGGUGACAGUGACGCAGUUAGCCAGCUUGUCUGGAAAUUUUAAAAUGGACUGUGCAAAUAAAUAAAUUAAGUCUGUUUGCACCUCGUGUUCGACUCCGGCAACGGUCUCGGAUACGGGGUGUUACAAAAUGUGCACAUGUAAACCAUUUAACCUAUUAAAAGUAAUCAUGCUUUAUAAUUCUAUUACAUCAAUAUCUUCAGCCUAUUCAAGUAUUCGAACCAAGCUAUUAUACAUCAAGACCAAAAUAUACAUAUAUUUCAUAAUUACAAAGUUUGAAUUAUAUGGCCAUCAAUUCUAUAACAUUUGAAUACCUAAGUCAUAAUUAAUCAUAUUUCAAUUCAUAAAUCGAGCUUACAGUAAGACAUCCACUAGUGCAAAUUUACUUCUGUCUAAAUACUAAACAUACCAUUUUACAUAUCUAUGUACAUUCGCAUAUUAUACCAUUCCACCCCAUAUCACACGGCAUAAUAUUCAUUAGCAUAAAAGAUAAUAGCUAGCAUUACAACAUGGCCAAAUAUACUUCUUUUACAUUGCAAAGUCAUGCGCAUAUUACAUAUCAAUGUGGACCAUUUUUUAACACAAAUGUCAAGUCAUAUCAUACCUAAUUCGCAAGCCAAAUAACAUGUCUAACCAUCAUAUAUUCAACCAACCUAGGAACCAUUUCUAAACAUAAUUACCAAAUCAAAACAUACCAAAAUUUAUAUGCUAGCAUCAUGACAAAAUUACAAGUACACAACCAAUUCAUUUCUCACCUAUUCGGUUAUCAAAAUUAACCACUAAAGUCAUACCAAUUCCACCAUUCAAUCUUAAGUUAAAUUUACCAUUGCAUAACCGAAUACAAAUAUCAACUUGUCACUUUAUGACUAUCCAUUUAGCUCACAAAACAUACCUAAUACAUAGUCAUUAUUUACUAAUAAUUAACCGAAUCAAAGUAACCAUAUAAUUUGCCAUUAACACUUUAUACACAUAACAAAAAAUAAAACAUUAAACUAAUCAAAUUGACCUUUAAAAAUCAAACCACAAACAAACAUAUCAUAUGCAUAUGUAUUUAAUUUAUCUAUCAUUAAUCGAAUACAUUCAUCAACACGUAUAUCUUUAACAUUUUUAGCAAAAUAAACUCGUCCAUAAUUAAACAUACUAAACCUCAAAUAUUAACAAACCAUAUCAACUUCACUUCCUCUAUAUGCCAUAACCAAAUUUACCUUAAUACCAACUCACAUAACAAAACCUUAAUAAAGCAUAUCAAACAAGAUUCAUAUAUAUAUAUAUACUUAUAUAUAUAAGCCAUAGCCGAAACACUAAAACCAAACAUAGCCAUCAAUUGUUCAAAGCAUAAAAUCCAAGCUUAACAAAAUAAUAAGCCAUUUUCGCAUGGCUCAUAUUUACAUAUCCCAAAAUCAAGUAUAAACUAGACUAUACAUGCCAUGGGUUUAAGUUCAAACUUAUAAAAAUACCGAAACAAUCGAUAGUUUGAUAGAUUUCGUUAACGAUCCCUGAGCCCAUAACUAGCCUCCAAAAUCUAUAAAACAAUAGCAAACAUACACAUAUAGUAAGCUAUCACAGCUUAGUAAGUCAUAAGCAAAUAAACAACUCAAUGACAUAAUCAACUCAAUUUAACCAAACCAAUUUAUGCUAUCAUAAUCACAUUUAAUUUCAAGCUUACAGCUUCAUAUACAACAUAUACUUUCAUAUAUAAACUUUAUCUUGGCGGAAUAUACAUAUAUCUAUUAUCAAAGUAUCAUUCAAUUUCAAAGACAUAAUAUCAUUAUAUAACCAAAUAUAUAUAAACUCAUAUGCAUAUGCUCAUGAAUAAAACUUUAAUAUCACAUACUUAUACAUAACAUGUGGCCGAAUAUACUACACAAAUACACAAAUAUUUACAUUAGUAUCAUGAAUAAUUUGCAUCACGUAUCAAAUAACCAACAUACCUUAUUUUCAAAUAGGUAUCAACUAUCACAUACCUGAUCACUUUAGCUCGUUUUACACAUUCGAUCACAACUUAUCAUUGCUCGUUGAACCAUUCAGAAUGAAAUAGGAUAAUCAGAUAAUCACACAUAUCGUACAAUGCCAACGUCCCAGACGUGGUCUUACAUGUAAUCACAUAUCGAUGCCACUGUCCUAGACAGGGUCUUAUACGAGAACACAUAUUGAUGCCAACGUCCCAGACAUGGUCUUACACAAGAACACAUAUUAGAAAUCCUAUGUCAUGACAUAUAUAUCCUAGCUAUUCCUAAGGUUCAUACGGGGCUUUCGAAUGUCGUAUCUCUGUCGAAUCGAAUUCGUAAACAUAGCUCCCAAGCAUAUACAUAUUCGGCUUUCACAUAUAUACUCUCACAUAAUUAAUUUCAGCAUAUAAAAUCUAUUUAUUUAAAAUUAACAACAUCUAUUUCCUUAUAAACUUACCUCGGACAACGAUAAUCAAAACAAGACGACUAUUCAACAACUUUGGUUUUUCCUCGAUCCAAAUCCGAUUGCUUUGGUUCUUGAUCUAAACAGAUUCAAAUUAAACUCAUUCAAACAUAAUUUCAUUCAAUUUAGUCCAAAAACACAUAAAUGAGAAAAUUACCAUUUUGCCCCUGACAUUUUACACUUUUUACAAUUUAGUCCAAAUAGCACAAAACACAAAACAUGCAAAAUUUGCACACAUCAUGCUUAGGCCGAAUGUUACCCAUGUUCAUACAAGUCCAUAUAUUUCAUUUAUUUCACAUUUUAGUCACUCAAUUUAUUAUUUUUUCAAUUUAGCCCUAAUUACUCAAAAUCAUCAAAAAUUUCAAUACAGAACAUAUUAAUCCAAAACAUAUCUUUCAUAAUUCAUCAUCUAACAUCACAAAGCUCAAUUAUUCAUCACUGGCAUAACUUAAAAUAUUCAUCAAAAUGAAAAAUUCAAGCAUGGGCUUUGUACAUUACACUGCAACGAUCUCAAAAACGUAAAAAUUAUCAAAAACGAGUUAGUUACAUACCUUAAUCAAGCUAAUCUUUGGCCGAACCCUUAAAAGCUUUAUUUUUCUUUCUUUAUUUUUGUUAUUCUGUCAAACCAAGAAGAUGAACACUUAAGUUUUGAUUUUAUGUUUUAUAUUAUUAUAACUUAUUAAUCAUUUUAAAUAUAUAACCUUUAUAUUAAAAUUUUAAACUAUUAUAAUUUAUGGUUAUAAUCGUCCACCUUAUGCUAUCAUGGUAAUAUUUCAUUAUAAAUACCUCCAUUUUUAAAGACAACAACAAUUCGGCUCUUAAAAACUAAACCAUCAAAUUUUCAUUUUACGCGAUUAAGCCCUUUUAUUAAAUCGGGCAAACAAACGAUAAAAUUUUCGAAUGAAAUUUUCACACACAUAAAUUCACACCUAAUAAACACAGAAAUAAUUUUUAAAUAUUUUUCUGACUCAGAUUCGUGGUCCUAAAACCACCGUUCUGAAUAGGUUCUAAAUCGGGCUGUUGCAAACAUAGAUAUCCAUUUAUAUCAAACAUUAUAUCAUAACCCAAAACAGUACCAAAUUAUACCAAUUCACAUAAGUUCAUCACAAUUUCAUAUACUUUUUUCAAACUACUUGUAUAUACCAUUACCAUUUUAGCCAUAUACCUUUAGAGUUUAUUAAAUCUGGUUCAUUUUCAUUUUCCUAUUUCAAAAUUCAAUUUUAACAUUUCGUCUGAUAGAACCUUAGUAACACGAACUCAAACAUGUGAGUGAACUACACCACACCAAAGCACUAGAGAAUGAAUACUCGAUUAUCUGUAACAAAUAUAUAUACAUAUACAUACACCACACCACACGAACUCAAACAUGUGCAAUGUCCAUAAGCAUCAAAUGUAUAUACAUAUACAAAUACAUCUCUCCACCACACCAAGGUCUCCGAAGAGAGAUUGAAUACUCAAUGAUUCGCAACAAAUGAUGGAUCCUAAAAUGACAUAUCAUAAUCUCCACAUCAUCAACAAACUCGUACAUUCAUAUUUUCACAAACAUAAACUGUGACAUUACAUAUCAAUUUAUGAAAUUCAUCAACUGAAUUUGAAUAUGGAUCACACAUAUAAUUAAUGAUGCAUUUAGUGAUAUUUUUAAUUUUUCUAGUUACCAAUCAAUAUAUUUAGCAUCGUUCACAUAUCACAACUCAUAUCAAUUCAUUUACAUUUCCUAGCCAAGUAUGUUAAUUUCCACUAAACCUUUAACACAAUUUCAAGUAUAGAUAAAAUGAAAUUAAAUACAAGCAUACCCAUCAAACAAGGAAGGGUAGUAAGUUCCAUAAAAACUUACAUUUCAAAACACAAUAUGGGUAUAUUUCUCACAAUUUAUUCCACAACUUUAGCUUUUCCUCUACAAGUUCCAUUUUUAUCAAAUUCAUACUCUAUACAAAUAUAUAUAUACAUACCAAAUCAAUAUCAUAUAUUAACACAUAAUAGCCAUUCAAUGGCUCACCAACAAUGAUGUCAUGAGAUUCAUGAUCUUAAUUAAUCCCCUUUAUUAGUACACUCAUAUUUUUCAUUUUAUUCAAUUUAGUCCAUGAACUCGAAAUAAGCAUAUUUUUUGAUUCCUAGCUUUGGAUCAAAAUUUGAUUUCACAUUAUUUCAUUAAGGAACCUGUACUUUCUAUUUAUAGCAUAAUUUCAUGACAAAUUUUUCAUUUAUUCAAUUUAGUCCCUAAUAUUACAAAGCUAAUAACAAGUUUAUUUAACUUUACAAUUUAGCCCUUAUCGUGAUCUAAGCUUAAUAACUACCAAAUUCAAGCCUAAUUCAUAAAGUUAUCAACAAUGACAACUUACUAAAAACUCAAAAAUUAAACAAAUUAAUACAUGGGCUAGCUAAAUCAAGCUCUCAUGAUCAUAAAUCUAUAAAAAUUACAAGAAUAAAGGCUUGGUUUUCUUACCAAAAUGAUGGUUGAAUGUUAAAGUUCAACCAUGAAUGUUUUCUUGGUUUUUCUUCUUCAAUGGAUGGUGAAAUGAGAAAGAUGAUGAUCGGUUUCAUCUUUUUCCACUUUUUUUAAUAUUUAUACUAUAUUUAAACUUAAUUAACCUAAUUUAAUUAACUUAAUUAAGCUUUAAUCAUAUUGAUUUUAUUAUUAAAUAAUCUAAGUGGCAAACAUCAUCAAUGUCCACUAUCUCAUGAUGGGAAAUGGUUUAAUAACCAUUUUGGCCCUUUGGUUAAUUACAACCUAGAUCCUCAAGUUUUUUCUUAAUUAAACUCAAUAGCGAUUAGACUUUUACAAUUUAGUCCCUAAGUUUUAAUUAACUAUCUUUUCGGUUAAAUUACUUAAUGAAUCUUUACUAUAUUCUCAUAUUAACUAUGAAAAUAUUCUUAUUUUAUAUUUACAAACUCAGUAAAUGUUCAUAUAAAUUUAAUUUAAUUAAUAUAAUUCAUAAAAAUAAUAAAAAAUUUAUAUCUAGAAAUUUUUAAUAUUAUAAUUAAAUGCUAAUAAUUUAGUAACAUAUAUUAUAAAUAUAUCUAAUAGUAUAAUUAAUAUAUUAUUUAUAAAAAUAUGAUUUAUUUCUUAAUAACUUUGUAAAUAUUAUGUCAAAAAUAAUAUUUGAAAAUAAAUAAUUUAACAUUUUAUAUUUAAUAAUAAAAUCAUUAUUUAACAAUAAAUUUAAUUUUCUAAAUUUAAAAAUAAAUCUAAAAACCAUAUUUAAAAUUAUUUUAUUAUAUAUUUUUCUUUUGAAUAUAACUAGCUGGAUUCAUUUAAUAUAAAAUAAGAAAAAAUACAGUCAAACAAAACAUAACAGCAAAAGAACAACCUAACCAAAAAUAAAAAAAAUAAUAAAGAUUAAUAAAAAAUAAAUAAAUGCAAUAAUAAAUAAAACCAUUAACUUUUUAGAGACCCUAAUUGCCCUUAGUAUUCACAAUCGAGCUGAUCUUGAGAACGAGAGCCUUCAAGUUUCCCCUUCCAUUUCCUCUUUGCUCCCUUAACUGUCACAUUUCCUUAGAGGAGACCCUCUUAGUCAUUGGUCGAUUCGUUUCACCAACCAAUCGCUCUCCUUUCCUCUACCAUUUUCCUUUCGCGAACACUGGCACAUCCCCCAUCAGGUGACUCUACUCCCUCCGCUUUAAACCCUUCGUUGCCAAGACAUGCGCUAGACCAUUCCUCUCUGCUUCCCCCAUCCUCAACCUUGCUUCUUUAAUCCGAAGCCUCUACCCAUCGUCGAUCAACUUUAUCUCUUUCUUUUCUCUGGAGUUCUAUCUAGUUUUCCCUUUUUUUUUCUUUAGCCCUCACUUUUUCUUAGGUAUAUUCCUCUCCAAAGCUUUAUCUCCACCUACUCUUUCAAUUUUUUUGUUUGGUUUGUCCUAAAAGCCCACCAAAACCUAUAAAUCCAUACAUGGAAAUCUCCCUUCUGUUAAUUUCCCACCAUCCAUCACAGUUUUUUUCUUUCGAUUUGGGUUGUUUUGUUUUGUUUUCGGAAUUUCAUUAUUGGUUUUGGAACAUGUCAAAGUGGAGGAGACCUUGUGUUAAUGCUUUAAAAAUAGCAUUAUUGGAUGAAAUUGAAGUUGGGAAAGCAUUGAAUCGUAACGAUUGGGUUUUAAUUUUUGUUUAUUCUUGAUUUUUCUUCCAUAGAUAUAAUUCACAAACUAAAAUUAUGGUUAAUAUAAUGUAUUUGGUUUGGGGUAUUUUUAGGAAAAAAAAUUUGUGGCCAUUCGAUAAAAGGCUGGAAUGGCUAUUCUUUGGUUGUAACAUAGAAUGGGUAUUCCGUGAGAGGCUGAAAUAAGGUUGUAAUACUACCUGGCCUUUUCACUCAUUCAAUUAAACCAAACAAUGGAAUAAGACUAUUUCGCUGAAUAAGGUAUGAAUGGAAUAGCCAUUCAUGCCAACCAAACCUGGUGUAAGAAUCCACCAAACUUGUUAAUUAUGCUUAAGGUUAGUUUAAUUAAGUUUAAUUAAGAUUAAUUAAAAGUUAAACUAAGUAUAAAAGAAAAAAAAGGCAUUUUGCUCAUCUUCUUCUUAUUCACCGUAGCAUAAAGGAGAAAUAAGGUUUGGAAGCUUUCAAACUUUCAACCUUGAUUUGGUAUGUUCAACUAAGUCUCUUUUUUUGUAAUUUUUAUGUUUUUAUGUCAUGGGAGCCUAAUUUAGCUAGCCCAUGUACCAAUUUGUAAAACUGUUAAAAUUUUUUAAAGUUUACAUUGAUGAUUUCUUGAUGAAAUUGGUGUUAAAUUGAUAGAUUUUAAGCUUAGAUGUGAAAAAAGACUAGAUUGUAAAGUGCAAAUUGUUAGUUUUGCUCAUAAGAACCAAAGUGUAAAAAUUGAUUUUUUGUGCAAAAUUUCUGUAAUUUUAGAUAGUAUAGGGUUCUAAGAGGAUGUAAUUGAUAUCAGUUUCAGAAUCGAAGCUCAAAAUUGAAAUUUAUGGCAAUUUCGAUUUUAAGAACUAAAUUGAAUAAAAUGAAAAACUUUAAGGGCAUUCAAAAAAUUAAAUUGAAUUGGUACAUGCAUGUUAGGGACUUUUAUAAAAUGAUUGGUAUUAAUAAAUUGAAUAGAAUUAUUGUAGAAAUCGAGAAUUAAACCAAAUUGAGGAUAAUCAGGGAAAGGCAAAAUUGCUAAUUUAUCCUUAAAAACUUGUUUGUUUGUUGUUUUGUCAGUUAAGUUCAUAUGAAACUUACUGUUUUGUUUCAUGCUAUGAUUGAAUUGUAUUUAUUUUGCUUAUUAGUUUGUACAAAUGUGAUUUGGUGAUUUUUGGCAUUAAUUGGGCUAAAUUGCAAAGUAUGAACUAUGGUAUUUAUGAAUAGGUACAAGGUACCAAAAUGGAAAUGGGAUAUUUAUAAGAUUGGUAUGACAUGUAAAUGUUGUUACAGGGAUUGAAAUUGUAUGAUUAAUAGUAAUAAUGCCUGUGUGAACUUAGUAAAAGAUUAGGAUACGUACGGCAUGCAAUUAGGGUCAAAUAUGAAAACGAUUAGGGAUUUUCAUGGUUAUAUGAGAUCCAACAUUUUUUGUGGAUUCUCGGCUUAUAUGUAUCAUUGGUUUAGCCUGGACAACCUUGAUACGAUAUCAACUUGUGUGAGCAAAUUCAAAAAUGUUAGCUUAUGUGAACAACCCUAAUCACUUUCAGCUUGUGUGAGCAAUAUAGUCUCGUGUAUUCGAGUUUGAUUUACUAUGGUUCUUUUAGGCGAAAAUGUAACUUAAUGGAAAUGGAAUUAUUGAAAUGGAUUGAAUAUGAAUUGAGCUAUAUAUGUUUUCUAAUAGACUAUUAAUUGGUUGGUACAUUUACCAAAUUGAAUGGUUAUAUAUGAAUUUUGUUAUAAGUUCUUGAUAUAUAAAUUGACUAACCAUUAGUUGCAUAUGAUAAUUUGGAUAUGAUGCUACAAAAUAUGUCAAAGGAUGUCAUGUUAAGUACCAAUGUGUUUUUAAAUGUUAGUUUGUUGAAAUGUCAAGAUAAGUUAAGUAAAUUUCAUAUGGUCUUACUAAGCAUUCAAUAUGCCUACUCUGUUGCCCCACUUUUUCCUUGUAGAUUGGCAUCUUGCAGAAUGUGUCAAUUGGAUUGUCGAGAAGCUCACAAUAUCCCGUUAUUGAUUUAGUAGUUUUUCAAUUGUUAAAAAGUUCGAUUUUGUGGCAUGUAUAUAUAUAUAUAGGUUUUGGUACAAUUUGAAUGUAUUAAGGACUUGAUGAGUUAAAGGUUGUUUUGGUGCAUGAUAUUGAAAAGUAUGUUUUAGCCAUGGUUUAUGUUUAGUUGAGAUGAUUUAUUUUGCUUAAUAAGUUUGAAAUAUGUAUGCUAUUGAAUGGCUAAGUGAUUAGAUGAAUUGGUUGAAAUUGAACAAGUUGAAUUGAUAUGUUUUAAUGCCAAUUUGAAAAUAUUUUGGAUUGAUUAAAUUGAAAUGGCUAAAUGCAAUGUUUUGGUAUGUGUUCGGGAUAUUUUUUGUGCAGGUAAGUUAGACAAAUGAGCCCAAAAUGUUAAGUUUGUGUGGAAGCUUUGAAAUAGGUACCAAAUGGCUUUAAAUUUACCAAAAAUAGAGUCCACGUCCCAACGAGCCACCUUCCUCGUCGCAAUGUCGGUCGACAAUGAGUCACGUCGUGACGUUGUAUGGCCUGAGGUCACAAUGUGACAAACUAUUUGGCAACGUCACGAUGUCGACUCUAAAAUUUCAAAACUUUAUAAUUUGGUGACAUUUCAAGCUCAAGUCAACAAAAGAUCUUUCGUAAGCUCGAUUAAGGCUCGGAUUUGAUUGCUUAACAUAAUGUAAAUGUGUUUAACAUAUGAUUGAAUGUUUGAAAUAUUUAUUUACAGUGUAUUUAACGAUAGUUGUUCCAACAACGAACAUGACAUUCCUAUAGCUCGGAUCCGAUAAUCAGGUUGAGUAAGGGAUGUUACACUCAUGAGGUGUUGAACUUUUAUAAGACUUUGGUUGGAACUACAAGUGAAUAUGUUAUUGAUUUUGUUAAUUUCUUUUUUCUUUCAAGAAUUUAUCUUGAAAUUUUGAUAAAAUUAUGAGGAGCCAUUAAUGAUAUUAUUCAAUUUUAGUGGAGCGUAUCCUCCAAAGACGGGCUUCUUUCUAUGCUUUGGACUUAAAAAGGGAAUAAUAUCAUAAAUGGUCCCUUAUAAUUUUAUCAAAAUUUCAAGAUAAAUUAUUGAAAUGAAGAAAUUAGUAAAAUCAAUGUCAUAUUUACUUGUAGUUCUCACAAAGUUUUGGCUUGAAACCGGGUAAUAUUGUAUUGAAAACAAAAGAAAAAAAAACAAUUGAAAAUAACUAAAAUUUGUUAUUAUAAAAGUUUGAUAAAAUAUGGGACUAUUCAUGAUAUUUUAUCAUUCUUGAGUUGAGCAGACCAAAAAAAUAUAUAUGAAAUCCGACUUCAACUAUUUUGCAAAUUAUUAUUUUUCCGCCUAUUUUGUUAAAUAUUUUUCUUAUUUCAUAUAAAAAAAACGCCUACUUUACAAUUUACGAAAUGUGAAAAGAAAAAGGAAAAAGUACAAGUUCAUUACUUUCUUUUUCUUAAUCUUUGCCAGAAUUAAAAGUUAUGGAAUUACAAAGGGAAUUUGCUGGGCUAAAACGGGAAAGAAAAUCAAGAUAUGAAGAAUGGUAUCUUUGGCAUGAUUAAAGCUGAUUUGACUUGUCAAAACAUAUUGUAAAAUUGAGGGAGAUUCUCCUAAUUUGUCAAUAAUAUUUUAUUAUUUUUUAACUCAAUAUAUUGAUGUGAUCUUAAUGGGGGUGUGUGAGGGGAUGAAGGGGCGGGGGGAGUUGAGACUUAUUGCUUCCUCAUCAAAGGUUGUGAUUGAAGCAAAGCCAUAUGAGAAACAGUUUCAAUGGUCCUGAUUGAGGAUUGCACAUAGCAGCCAUGUGGGCAGCAACAAACUAUGAAUAUAUUCUUUCUAAUUUAAUACUAAAGCCAAAGCAGUACAAGGAAAGGCUGCAAAUUUUGUAUGGGGAUCGGUGGGGAGUGGCAUCUGAGCUGACCUGACCCUGUCUGAGCAUUAUCAUCUUUAACCCCAACAUGGUUCCAUGUCAGGGAAACAUCCCUACACCUUUCCGUGCUUUUACCUUUUGAGCCACCAUCUCUCCCUCUACCUAAUGAUCCCACUGUUAACCUACAUCCCAAUUUCAAACUUGAGAUUGGGUGAUUGCAUGAAGUAGAUUCCUAAAAUUUAGUUCAGUUUUUGAAUGAAACGAGAAUUUGUCUUAAAUAGAAUAGUGGGCUUCAUAUUAGACAAGAUGAAGAUGUUGAGCCCAAUGUUUUAUAGAUACAAGUGAACCUCCACUUUGGUUGGCCUAAAAUAAAUAAUUGAUCCCAGUGUUUGAGGCCUGCACUACGCUCAUGCAAAUCACAUAUUUGCCUGACGUGGGGACCUAAACAUGGGCAUUUUUGUGCUUACUCAAGUAAUAAAACAUUAGCAGAUAUAAAAAUUCAAAUUCUAGGUGUGCAAUUAUUAGAGAAUGGAAUAUAAUAUAUAUGUUAGAUGCAUCUGCCUUCCUACACCCAAAUUCCUCUCAUUCCAAUAUUAGAUAUAUACUAGAAUUAAUAACAUUAUAAUAUGAUAAAUUAAUUUAAUUGUUUUAUAAAACUAUAAUUGUAAUAUUUUGAAAUAUAAAUAAAUACAAAAAAAAUUAAUGCUUAAUUUCAAUAAACAAUAAAUAUAAUACUUCUCUAUUUUAAUUUUUAAUAUUUCAAAUGUGAAUAUUAUAUUAUUUUAUUAAUUAAUCGAGUUUAAAUUUCAUUGGUAUUAGUAUUAUUGUCAGUGCAAGGGAUGCGAGUGUGUCUUUUUUAUAAUUACAUUAAUCAUAAAAAAUUAUAUAACUUACUAAUUAAUUAAAAAUAUUUUAUAAAUAUUAAUUUUCAUUUAAAUAGCUAAAUAAAAAUAUAUUUAUAUUUUAUAUAAAAUAUAAUAUAUAUAUAUAUAUAUAUAUAUAUGAAAAAUAUUUGGUAUACUGCCAUUGGAGUUUUUGGACUCCACAAACAGGAUUAGGAAGUUGACAAGUGUCCUAUAAAAUAUAAUAAAAUAUUAAUAAAAAAGACAUGUCAAUUUUUUAAAACUGCUUGUAGAAUAAAAAAAGUACACUAACAGUGGAGUUUUUUAGAAUCCACAAGUACGAAGUUGACAAGUCCCCUAUAAUAGUAUAGUAAAAUAUUUUAAAAAUAGAUAUUUAAGUAGGGUUAGGGGGUUGACAAAUGUUCUAUAGAGGUAUGAUAAACUAUUGAAAAAUAGAUAUUUAAAAAAGCAUAGACAAAUGUCAUUUUUUUAAUGCUGCUUAUGAAAUGAAAAAAUAUAUUGCAAAUACUCACCCAUAGAGGAAAAAUAUUUGGUACAUUGUCAGUGGAAUUUUUAGACUCCAAAAGUAGAGUUAAAUGUUGACAAGUGUCCUAUAUGGGUAUGAUAAACUAUUGAAAAAUAGAUAUUUAAAUAGGAUUAGGGGGUUGACAAGUGUACUAUAAGAGUAUAGUAAAAUAUUUAUAAAAAAUAGAUAUUUAAGCAUGGUAAAGGGGUUGACAAGUGUCUUAUAGAAGCAUGAUAAACUAUUGAAAAUAGAUAUUUUAAAAAAACAGAGACAAAUGUCAUUUUUUUUAAUGUUGCUUGUGAAAUGAAAAAAUAUAUUGCCAAUGUACCAAAUGCUCACUCAUAUUAGGAAAAUAUUAUUGCACUGUCAGUGAAAUUUUUAGACUCCACAAGCAGGGUUAAGGAUUGACCAGUGUCCCAUAUAGGUAUAAUAAAAUGUUAAUAUACAUAUUUAAAUAUAUAUAUAUAUGUCAAUUUUUUAAGGAUGCUCGUGGAAUAAAAAAAUUAUAGCGCUAGUUGAGUUUUUAGACUCUACAAGCAAGGUUAAUGGAUUAACAAGUAUCCUAUAGGUGUAUAGUAAAAUAUUAAAAAAAAAGACAUAUGUCAAUUUUUUAAAGUUACUUAUAGAAUAAAAAAAGUACACUACCAAUAUACCAAAUACUCCCCCAUAUAAAGGAAAAUAUUCGAUACAAUGUCAAUGGAGGUUUUAGACUUCAUAAGUAAGGCUAGGGUGUUAACAAUUGCCUUAUAGUAGUAAAAUAUUAAAAAUAUAUAUAUUAAAAAAAGACACAUGCUAACUUUUUAAGACUGCUUAUGAAAUAAUAAAAAAAGUACAUUGUCAGUGUAUCAAAUACUCACUCAUAUAGAGAAAAUAUUUGAUACACUGACAAGGGAGUUUUUAAACUCCACAAGCAAGAUUAGGAGAUUGACAAGAAUCCUAUAAGGUAAAUAUUAAAAAAUAUAUACUAAAAAAAGAGAUACAUGCCAAUUUUUUAAAGUUACUUGUGAAAUAAAAAAAUAGAUAUUAAAAUAAAGACGUAGCUUAAGCUUACUUUGAAUCCUUUAAAAGAGGGACUGAUUGCAACAUCAUUUACUAACAUUUUAGAUUCAUCAAUGCUAAAUUUUUAAUGAUUUUUGUUAAAUAUAAAUGGUAUUUUUGUUGUUGUUGUUAAAUAUACACAAUAUAUCAAAAAGUGAUUAAAGUAAUAUAUCAAAGAAGAUGCCCUAAAAUGGAAAAUUGUAGUUUAAUCUCUUUAAAAUAAUAAAAUUGUAAAUUAAUUUAUAGUAAAAUUAUACUUUGACCCCCUAAAUAAGAAAAAUUAUAUUUAAUUUCUUCAAAAAUAAUGGAAUUAUAAAUUAAUACAUGAUAAAAUUACAUUUAAAUCUCUCAAAAAAAUUUAUAAUUCAAUUUUGACUCUAAAAAAAAUUCUAACUUCACCCUGAAGAUCUAUAAAAAUUAUAAAAAACUCAAAGUAUAAUUGUUGAAGAAGGAAAUGUGAAAGAGACAAUUACAAUAUGCAUCAAAGUUAUUCUAUUAUUGAUGAACAUUGAAAUUGAUAAAACAAAGCAUAAAUGCCUAUAUUUAUAGGCUUACAAAGAAACUACCUUAACACAAAAAUAACUACAACUUAUUCAAUUAAAUUGAAAAGUUGGAACUAAUAAAGAUUCUACCGAGAUACUUGGUCAACUAAACAACCUACUACUUUGAAUUAAUUCUCAACACUCUCCCUUAAUUCAAAGUUGCAGAAACCAAGUAGACUUCUGAACUUCUCUUUUGAUAAAGCCUUUGUUAACACAUCUGCUAACUGCUUUUGGGUGUUGCAAUACUUCAAAGAUAUUUCCUCUUUUGCUACCAAAUCAUGAAUGAAAUGAUAUUGAAUAUCGAUGUGCUUUUUUUUACUAUGAAAUGUUGGAUUCUUUGUCAUGAAGAUAGUGGAUUUGUUGUCACAAAAUAUCUCUGUUGCACAUUGUUGUCACAAAAUAUCUCUGUUGCACAUUUCUACUCUUGUUGAAGAUUGGCUAACACUCUCCUUUGCCAAAUAGCUUGACAAGCUGCUGCAAUUGUUGCUACAUACUCAGCCUCUGAGGUUGACAAUGUUGUUGUAGCUUGCUUCUUAGAACUCCAAGUGAUCACCCCUGAACCUAGAGUGAAAACAUUUGCUGAUACACUUUUUCUAUCAUUUAAAGAACUUGCGCAAUCAUUGUCUGUGAACCCACACAAUUUGAAAUUUGGAGUUUUUGAGUACCAAAUGCCAUACUCCAAAGUUCCAACAAUGUACCGCAAGACCCGUUUUGCUACUCCAUAAUGAUCCUUUGAAGGUUGCUGCAUAAACCUAAAAAUAACACCAAUAAGAAUGCAAGUCGGGCCUAGUGUGAGUAAAAUAAAUUAAACCUCCAACCAAGCUUCUAAACCUACUUGCAUCUAUCAUUUCUUCUCCAUCUUCUAGCUGUAAUUUCUCAUUGAUAUUCAUGGGUGUAGCUACAGGUUUGCAAUUAAACAUGCCAAAAUUAUUGAGAAGAUCCUUGGCAUAUUUUCUUUAUGAGAUAAAAAUUCAAUCUUCAGCUUGAUGAACUUCAAGACCAAGGAAAUAAUGCAAUAAAUCCAUAUCCGACAUCUCGAAUUCAUUCAUCAUUUGAGACUUAAACUCAUCAAUAAGAAAGUUAGAGGAACUAGUAUAAAUGAUAUCAUCAACGUAAAGACAAACAAUGAUGAAAUCAUUUUUACCUUCCUUUUUCACAUAUAAGGUGGGCUCAUUCUCACUUCUCAUGUACCCUUUCUUUUGAAGAUAUACAUUGAUCUUGUUGUACCAUGCUCGAGGGGCCUGUUUCAAUUCGUACAAUGCCCUUUUCAACUUGUACACCUUUGUUUAUUUGCCCUUCUCUAUGAAACCUUCUGGUUAUGCUACAUAAACCUCAUAUUGUAGAUCUCCAUUGAGGAAUACUGAUUUGACAUCAAAUUGAUAAACAGGCCAUUGCAAGUGUGCAACUAAUGCUAGAACAAGCCUCACUGUUUCGAACCGAGCUACCGGAGAAAAGGUUUCUUUAAAAUCAACACCAUAUUGAUGUACAUAACCUUUCACUACAAGACGAGCUUUGUGCUUUUGGAUGCUUCCAUCUGCACAAAUUUUUUUCUUAAACACCCACUUCAAACCAAUUGCAUUUUUGUCUUUCGACAAGUCGACCAACUCCCAAGUUCCAUUUUUUCGAUAGAUUUCAUCUCCUUUAUCAUCACUUUUUGUCAUUCUUCCUUAUCAGCAAUUUCUUCAUAACAUAGAGGAUCUAAAAUAGCUAAAGCAAAUUGAAAAGAUGCAUAAGUGUGAUUAAUAUAUUUUGGAUUCAACUUUCUGACCCUUGUUGAUCUUCUUAAUGGAAUUGGUUCUUCAGAAGACUCUUCAAGUGUUGUAGAUGUUGCUGGUGUUGAAGCUUGUUUUUCAUCUGGGAAUCUUCAAUUGGAAAAGAAAUCUCCUAUUGUCCCUGCUCUACAGUAUAUCCUAACUUGCAUUUUCAUCAAACACUACAUCUCUUUUACUUAAAAAAUUUCCACUAUGAGGGUUAUACAAUAUAUAUGCUUUGGAUUGAGUACAAUAACCAAUAAAAAUACAUUUUUCAUAUUUUUCAUCAAAUUUUUACGAGCAUGAGAAUUUACCAAAGCAUAAACAACACAACCAAAAAUUCUUAAAUGACUUACAUUAGGUUUCCUACCACACUAAGCUUUAUAUGGAGUUUUGUUCAUGACAGUCCUUGUUGGCGAGAGAUUUAGUAGAUAGACUGAUAUUGCCACAGCUUUUGCCCAAAAUUGAUUUGAGAGUCCCUUUGCUUGUAACAUGCUUCUCGCCAUCUCCACAAUAAUUCGAUUCUUCCGCUCAACAACAUCAUUCUGCUCUGGAGUGUAAGGAAUUGUUAACUCCUUACGGAUGCCAUUGUCUUCACAACAUAGAUUGAACUCCUUGGACAUGAACUCUCCUCCUCAAUCUAUGUAAAGAAAUUUGAUAUGGCAGCCGCUUUGGUUCUCCACCAUAGCCUUGAAUUUCUAGAACUUUUCAUAAGUUUCUGAAAUGUUUUCCAGAAAAUACACCCAACUCAUGUGGCUAUAAUCAGCAGUAAACAAUAAGAAGUAACGGCUCCCACCCAAGGACUCUGUUUGCAUUGGACCACAUAGAUCUGCAUGAACUAAUUUUAAACAUUCAGUAGCUCUCCAUGCUUUUCCAACAGAAAAUGGCUUUUUAGUUUGCUUUCUAUAAAUGCACCCCUCACAUAAAUCAAGAGAGCCAAUUUUUGGUAGUUCAAGAACCAUACCUUUAUCACUUAGCAAUUUCAGGCCUUUAAUAUUGAGAUGUCCAUACCUCAAAUGCCAUAGCUUCGAGUCAUUCUUUUCACUUGCAGCAAGAACAAAGUUCUCUAUGUUUGAAACAUCUAACAGAAACAUCUUGUUUGGAGUCAUAUGGACAUGGACUUGUUUGCUUGACUUUUUGUUUUUGAUGAUACAUGCAUCAUCAUCAAAUAUGACAGAAUAUCCACCAGCCAUUAGUUGUCCAACACUCAAUAAAUUGUAUCCUAAAUCAGGAAAAAAGUGAACAUUGUCCAAAAUAUUUCCUUCUCUAAAAAAUUUCACCGUUUCUUUUCCUUCAACUUACAUCUCCCUUUUGUUCCCAAGCUGCACCUUUAUCUUUUGUAACUCAUCAAGCACCUUGAACAAGGAUUUGGCACCUGUCAUAUGAUUCGAACAGCCGCUAUCCACAAACCACAAAUCACUUGGCUUAUGGUUAGCAUCAAUACAAGCCAUAAAAAACUUGUUUUCCUCAUCACUUUCUACUGAAAAGUUAAUUUUUUUAUUCUUAUACUAGCAAUCAGCUUUUAUAUGCUCAUAUCUAUUGCAAAGAUAAUAUUGUAUGCCAUAUUUUAUGUUACCUUACUCAUUAUAUUACCUCUGACCAUCAUUCCUUCCUUUGCCUCUGCCUCUGCCUCUGCCUCUGCCUCUACCUCUACCUCUACCUCUACCAUAACCACGGCUAUGACCACCACGAAAUCUUCCUCUUCCUCGAUUAUUGUUUAUUGAACAGUCAUUUUCGCCUUGAUUUGUGAAUGUCUCCUUCACUUGAAAUGUCUGCUCUUCACUCUUUUCUGCUAAUCUGUUGAUUCUCCCCUCAUGAGAUUGAAGAGACCCCAUCAGUUCAUCGACGAAGAGAACUAACAGAUCUUUGGGUUCUUUUAUAGCAGCCACAACAUGAUCAAAUUUUAUCGUCAAGCUUAGCAAAACUUUCGCUACAAUUAUCUUAUCUGAAAUUUGUUCACCGUAAGAGCGCAAUUGGCCAACUAUUGUCCUUGUUCAUGACAAAAAAUCAGUAAUUGAUUUACCAUUCUUCAUCAUCAAGGUUUCAAAAUCACGUCGUAGUUAUUACAAUUUCACCACUAUAACCUUUGAAUCACCUUGAUACUCUUUCUGUAUAAUUAACCAUACUUCAUUUAAUGUGGUUGCUACAGCAAUUCGUGAGAAAAUAGAGUCAUGAAUUGCUUGCUGGAUAAUGAACAAUGCCUUAGCAUCGUUUUUCUUGGUUUCUUUCAAUCUUUUUUUCUUUUUCUUCAUCAGGUUCAAGUAUGCCAGCAAACCCAUACUCGACCAAGUCCCAUAGCUCUUGUGAUCUGAGCAAUGUCUUCACCUUGAUGCUCUACCACUCAUAUUUCUCACCAUUGAAAAUAGGUAUAAGUGGUUGAAAGGAAAAAAAACCAGCUGAUGCCAUUCCAAGAACACACACUCUCUUCUCUCGUGUUUCUCAAAGACCCAAAAAGGUGUUUCUCUCAAAUACCCAGUGGACCCAAACCUAACUUUCACUCAAUUUCCUAAAAUAUCGAACCUAGCUCCAAUGCCAAAUUUGUUAAAGAAGGAAACGUGAAAGAGACAAUUACAAUAUGCAUCAAAGUUAUUCUAUUAUUGAUGAAAUUGAUAAAACAAAGCAUAAAUGCCUAUAUUUAUAGGCUUACAAAGAAAUUACCUUAACACAAAAAUAGCUAACAACUUAUUCAAUUAAACUGAAAAUCUGGAACUAACAAAGAUUCUACCGAGAUGCUUGGUCAACUAAACAACCUACUAUUUUGAAUUAAUUUUCAAUAAUAAUUAGAUAAUGAUCAAAGUAGUAAAAUAUUGAAUAGCAAUACCAUAAUCUAAUCAUGCCAAAAGUAAUUCAAUGUGCAUUCUCAAAAGUAAAGAAAAAGAUUAAACGUAUAUAUGCUUGUAGUUCUAAGAUGUUCGGGACAAAUUCAACCAUAGCUUUUCAUCCAAUUUUUCAGAAAAUGCUCCAAUUAUUAUAAUAGUUAAGUUAUACAAAAAAUUUAGAAUAGAUUACGGUGGUUAUUUAUAUUGUAUGUAGUGUGGAGAGUCACUAAGUAUGGAAGCUUAGGAUGAUAUUUUAAUAAAAUGAUGACUAAUAAUUGAUUUUCUAUCAUGUGUCUUGUUCUAUUUUCUUUCAUCUCUCUUUGAUCUUAGAAGAGGUAUUUAUAAGAGAAGGAAGUAAUCCUUCAUAUCAUUCUUGCCUCUUUAAAAGAGUCCAAUUUAAACUUAACUUACGGUAUGACCUGAGUGUAUUACCAUGUGAAAUUGAUGAACUUAAAAAGUAAUAACAAUAUUAAAUUUAGUGUGACGGUUGUCUUUAAUGAUAUCAUGAUAAUACUUUUUUAUAAUGUGAACAGUUAUAUUUAAUGAUGCCAUGAUAACUUUUUUUUAGUCUGAAGAUAUCAGUACAACAAAAAUUCCGGUGAAUAAUAAUUGGAAUCAAAUCAAUACAAAACCCUUCACAUUUUUUUAAUAAAGUCUUGGUUUUUAAUCUUCAAUAGUCUUUACAUUAAAGUUUUCUUAUCAUACAUUUUAUGCAUGAGAUUUCUAUUUUAUGAAGCCAGAGUUCAAGAGUUAUUGAUAAAAUACUAAUACGUCUUGUUAAAACAUUAUAGAAAUAUUUGCAUCUUGCAUUGCUUAUGUCUUAAAGUAAAUAACUUCCAUAAAAGUCUGAAUUUUUCUUUUAAAAAAAAAAAGAAAGAACUUGACUCGCUUACUUUGACUUUAAUUAAGGUAGGAAUGUCACAUGUAGAGGCUUGUUGAAGUAACCUUAACAAGUCAAAGAAAACAUUGCUCAAAGUCCAACAUGUCACCUCUCUGAGGGUUGCAUUCAACAAAUAAGCACUCAAAACAUAGAAUCACAUGCGGUGAAGACAGACAAGGCUCUUUCUGAGGAGGAGUUUGGACAAAGGUUGAGUUUUACUAUUAAUCUUUGAGAAAAAAAUUCAAUCAAUGGCAUCCAAAUCCGAUGAUUCUUAAAUACAACAUCUAAGUUAGAUUAUAAAAUUGAAGUUUUUCAUUUUAUUUAUUUAUUUAUUUUUUUACUUAUGGAUUAAUGGAAAAUGAGCAUAUAAUAAGUUGUUUUUUUCUUUCAAUGAGCAUAUAAUAAGUUAGUGACUUAAUGGUAAGUAGUAAUAAUAUUGUCUUGUUCCCAUGGUGGUCUGUUGGGGGGAAAAACAGACAAAAGAAGCUAAAAAGGCGAGUCAACUAUCUACAAAAGUUAUACUUGGGUUGGCUGAGAGGCCUAAAAGGAGAUAUGCAUAAGGAAAGGAAGAAAGAAAAAAAAAAGCAAAUCCAAUAGCAAAGAAGCCUUUUUUAUACCUUCCUUUUUGGUUUUGCUGAUCUUUUCUCGAUUCUCCCCAUCUUUGAAAAGUAAAAAAUUGAGCACAGAAAAGGGAUCAUAAUCCAAAAAAUCUUGCUGCCCUAAUAGCAUCUAACAUUUUCUUUCAUCUUUCUAAAUAGGCAAGUUGUGUUUCUUUGUAGGAAGUUAGGCAGCCUUCUAAUACAGCAAAAAGGAAAAGGGAAAAGAUUGAAAGGAGCUGGUUUUUUUAUUAUUAUUAUUCUAGUUGUGAUGGGAGCUUGAUGGAGCAACCGCAUCAAAUCUGUCAGUUCUUCUGGUACAGGUAACUUAAAUGUUCUUUGGUUCUGAUUUUCCUUAAAGCUUUCAACUUUUUCAUAUUUGUUUAUGAGAAAUGAACUUGUAUGUCUUGUUUCCUGUUUUGACAUCAAUCAGAGGAGUUGGUUUUUAUUGUGAUGUGAGCGUGUAGCUUUAUUUGUUAUAGAGCUUUGAUGAUCACAAUCCUAAAUUGGAAUAAGGACCCUAAUUGGAGCUUUAGAAGUGAGUUUUUGGAGAGACAAUCUUAAAUGAACUUACAAAGUAUGAAACUUUAUCUGUUGUUGUAUAGGAGUUGAUUUAAGGAGUAAGAGCAGAAAUGGAAACAAUUUCUCAAGCAGCAGGGUGUCUUCAGCUUCUAUACCAUAAGCACCUCGGAGUGAUGGUGAGAUUUUGCAGUCUUCAAAUUUAAAGACGUUCACCUCCAGUGAGCUCAAGGCAGCCACCAAAAACUUCUCACCAGACACUGUGCUAGGAGCAGGUGGAUUUGGUUCUGUCUUCAAAAGAUGGACUGAUGAGCAUUCACUUACAGCCACCAAGCCUAGUACUAGCAUUGUUAUUGUUGUUAAAAGGCUCAACCAAAAAGGUUUCCAGGGUCACAAGGAAUGGUUGGUUAGUGAUGGAUGGUGAAAUUAUGAUGUUAUAAUCGCUUUUUCGGUACAAGUAGUGUUAUUUAUGACUUUUCUCUAACAAGAGAGUAACUUGAUUUUUUUUUAUAAUUUGGCAUAUAGGCUGAAAUCAACUAUCUUGGACAACUACAUCACCCUAAUUUUGUAAAGUUAAUUGGUUAUUGCUUAGAGGAUGAGAAUCGACUUUUGGUAUACGAGUUCAUGGCUCGGGCUAGCAUGGAGAAUCAUUUUUUCAGGAGUGAGUUCCUUGUGUUGAUGAAACAUUCAUAACUAUGACAUAAAGCAUAUGUCUCAUUCCACCAUACCCAAUUUUAUUUUGAAACAGGAGGGUUAUACUUCCUACUUCUUCCUUGGGGCAUCCAGAUGAAGGUUGCACUUAGUGCUGCAAAAAGACUUGCCUUUCUUCACAAUGCCAAAACACAAGUCAUAUAUUGCUACUUUAAAACUUCUAAUAUCUUACUUGAUUUGGUACAUAAACGAGCUAAUGUUUCCUUUUGCAUUGCUGUUCCAUGGCGAAUACAUUGGAACAUUGGUCAUUCCACGGAUGAGCUAUUUAUUGUUCUUUCAUUUGAUAUUUGCAGAAUUACAAUACAAAACUCUCUGAUUUUGGGUUAGUUAGGGAUGGACCAACUGGUGAUAGGAGCCAUGUUUUCACUAGGGUCAUGGGAACCUACGGUUAUGCUGCUCCUGAAUAUCUAACCACAGGUAUCACUCUCAGGUUUAUUUUCUUCUCUAACUUGAUCUAUGCUGUUAUAUAUCCUACAGGUUUCUCAUGCAUUUAGCUAUUUGUUAUUGGAUCAUUUGAAUUAAAGUUGAUAAAGUCUGAGUGUUGAUAUAAAUUUAAAAUUUCUAUUUGAAAGGUCACUUGACUGACAAGAGUGACAUAUACAGCUUUGGAGUUGUUCUUCUUGAAAUGUUAUCCAGCCGACGAGCUAUAGACAAGAACAGGCCAUCUGAAGAACACAAUCUAGUGGAUUAGGCAAAACCUUACCUGACCAACAAACAAAGAAUAUUCUGUGUAUUAGACACCCAUCUCCAAGGUCAGUAUUCAAUGAAUCGUGCCCAAAAGGCAGCUAACCUAGGACUUCAAUGCUUAGCUACUAAACCCAAGUUGAGACCUAGCAUGGAUGAGGUGGUAUAAACACUUGAGCAGCUUCAGGAGCCAGGUGACAUGUAGAAAAGCACACAGAAAGAACACCAUGUAAAUGCUCACAACCCAUCAAAUGACAAACUAACAGCUUAUCAAAAGCCUUCUACUUUACGACUUAGUGUUUAGAUGAAAACUUUUUUGAUGCAGCAGCAAAUCAAACCAUGGUUGAGCAGUAUACUGUUUGUUUGCUUAAACCAUUUAAAUCAGCUCUGAAAUUGAUCAACGUCAUAUAUGAGAGCAAAUAGGAACAUGAUCUAAGUUUAGAUAAAUAUCAUAUCAUAUUAUAUCAUAUCAUACCAGUAUGAUUGAAAAGAUGUGGAAGCUUGUCUCAGGAUUUUUUUGGCUCUUCCUUGAUCUCUAGCAUAUGAUCUUGUAUUGUAUGCCAGUGUAUUUAAACUCAUUUGGGAAAUGUAAAAAUCAUUAUUUCUUUCUCUUAAUUGUUGAUAUUUUGAUAUGUGACGUGUUUUCUCAAUUAUUUUAAACUUCACAUUAACUUUCUUUAUCUGUAUUGUUUAUUGGACAUGGAAAAAGAAGAGUGGGAUUUGGGUUGUAUAGAGAACUUCGAGGCAUUUGCUUGAUUUAAGUGACCCAGAAGGUGUGGUGCAAAGGUUUCAAUUUCCAAUAAAGACUCUCUCUUGUCAAAUAAAAAAUAGAUUUAGAAAGUUUCAAGUCAUUUGUUACAUAUUCAGAAUGAGGGCAGCUCGGAGUGCCGGUAACCAUUUUUUUUAGAUUUUACUGAGUAAUUUAAACAACAUUGUAAGACCUAGUCAAUUGUGCAUUUAUGUAGUUUCUGGAACAGCCCAUUUUUGUCAAAAUCAAAUGAAACUAAGAAAUCAGUAAUGGAGUGAAUGAAGGGUUAAAACAAAUGGAAUUGGAUGGUGCAUGGACCACAUUGAAAGUACGAAAACAGUUAUUUACUUGACAUCCAUGUUGAAGCAUUUGAGAGGGAAAACUUCAGUUGCAAUAACUAUCAGUGUGAUUGAAUGCAAUUCUCCCUACUGUAGCAUUUACUUGGAAUGGAAAUCUUUCUUUCUAUUGAAAUUGUAGAAAUGUUUUUGGUUGUUAGAGUAACUAUAUUAGUUAGUACUCUGUUACAGUUAGUUAAUAUUCUGUUAUAGUGAGUUACAAAUCAGUUGUGAAGAAUGCUGCAAUCUAAUGUGUUACUAUCAGUGUGUUCGUUAUCUUUAAAAUUAAUAAAUGAAGUUCUUUAUGUGUUUCUAAUAUGGUAUCAGAGUGAAUUUUUUUUUUUUAGGAAUGGAGUUAGCAACAGAUAAGUUUUUGGCUUUUGCCUCACAGAAGGUAGCUGUGCUGGUUGAUGAUGGAAAUUUCUUGGCCUGGAAACAGCAUAUGUUGUUGAUUGUAAAGACUCAUCGGCUACAAAUGUUUCUUAAUAGGACGGUCGCUAUUCCUCCAAGAAUGGUUGUAACUGAAGGUGGUAUCUCAGACGAGAAUUCUUUGUAUGUGUGCUAUGAACAACAAGACUCUGCACUUGCGGCGUGGCUGCUUUCGACUAUUAGUCCAUUAUUGCAUAAUCAACUCGUCGGGAAUUUUGGUUCGUCUUGUGAGUUGUGGCAAGCUCUUAUGCAUAUUUUUGGGUCUCAUUCAACCACUAAAGCCAUGAGCUAUCGAUUGUUGCUGCAUAAUAUUCAAAAAAAAUAAACUCUCCAUAUCUGCGUAUUUAAUACAAAUCAAGCAUCUCUGUGAUUCUUUGGUAGGAUAUGGACAACCAGUAACUAUAGAAGAACAACAAUCUGCAAUUUUGAAUAGCUUACCUCUAGAGUUUGAUCAUGUGGUGUCGAUUAUCACCAUGAGUAGAGUGCCAUUCGAUCUUCAAGGUAUCACAACUGCUCUUCUGAAUGCUGAGGCUCGGCAACAAGGACAUUUCUCACAGAUGGCAUUUUUAGCGAAUGUUGCCGUGGUGCAAAAGAAUCCUUCGUCUUAAAGUGCUCCGACUUAUGCCGGACAACUACCACCAGAUAUGUUUCGUUCAUCAUGAGGAUCUCAAGUUUCUCGUCGUGGUCGAAGUCGUGGAAGACGUGGUGGUGGUGCAAUACCAAAAUAUCAAAUUGUGGGAAGUUUGGGCAUCUUGCUCGGAGAUGCUUCUAUAGAUAUGAUUCAGCGUCUGAUGGAGAAAGAGAAAACCCUAGUGUGAAGGAUGACACUGAAUAUUCUGCUUCUCGUAUGGGUCAUGAGUAUUGGGCUGGAUAUGUUUCUCGCGUGGAUCAAAAGCCUGUUACAGCAUAUAUGUGUUAUGCAGAUGAUGGGCUACAUUCUUCCUAUUAUGCCUCUAACCAGGCAGUACGUAGGCCUCUUCUACAGAUUCAUCCCUCAUUUAUUGAAGUAGACUCAAUUCAACGUAGUCAAAGUCCAUAAUUUUACAUGCCUGCAGUUGUUGGUCAGACUUUACGUGCUUCUUUUGGUUGUGAUGCUGAUUAUGUGCGUCAUUGUUCGGGGUUUUAAUCUCAGUCGCCUUUUUCAAUGGCUGGACAUAUAGUAAAGUCGAUUGGGUCAUCUGGGCUUGCUAAUCCUUCUAUAGUUGCCGAUCCUACGUGGUAUCCAGAUAGUGGAGCCACUGCUCACAUGACGAAUGACUCGACCAAACUUUUCGAUGCUCGGUUGUACAAUGGAGGAGGUAAGGUCAUUAUAGGUAAUGGUCUUUCUAUACCUAUUAAGCAUGUUAGUGGUUUAUCAAUCUUGGCUGAUAAUUCUAGUCCAUUGUUGCUUAAGGAUUUAUUGUAUGUUCCUGAUAUUAGAAAGAAUUUAUUGUCCGUUUCUAAGUUUUCUAAAGACAAUGGUGUAUUCUUUGAAUUUAUCCUAACUACUACUGUGUCAAGGAUUUGAAGACUCGUCAGAUGUUGCUUUGCAGAAGUGAGUUGAAUGGGUUGUAUCGGUUUGAUACUGUCAAGUCAGACUUUGCUUUUAAUGCUGAGAGUACAUCUCGUACAGAGUCUCUUCCACCACAGAGGUCAGAUGUUAGGUUUGACUGGUGGCAUCGAAGGUUGGGUCAUCUAUCAAAUAGUAUUGUUAGUAGUGUCUUAUAUGCUUGUAAUAUUAGAAUUUCAAGACAUAAGAGCUAAUCAUGCCUUUUCAUUCUUCUGACUCUGUGUAUACUGCUCAUUUAGAACUUGUGAUUGUUGAUGUAUGGGGGCCAGCUCCUUGCUACUCCUCUGGUUAUCAAUAUUACCUGUCUUUUGUUGACUCAUUUUCUCGACACACUAGGAUUUAUUUUCCUAAAAAGAAAUCUGAUGCUUUUGUUGCGUUUAUGUUAAGCUACAGUUAUGAGUUAAACUCAAACAACUUCAAAUUUAUGGUGGUGGUGAGUUUCGAUCGUUUGAUUUGCAUAUGAAAUAAUGUGGAGUUGUUUAUCGUAUCUCCUAUCCACAUACCUCGGAGCAGAAUGACAUUGUUCAGCGUCGCCAUCGGCAGAUUGUUGAGACAGGAUUAGUGCUAUUAGCUCAAGCUUCCUUUCUUAUUUUUUGUUGGGUUAAUGCGUUUGCUACUGUUGUGUUUAUCAUGAAUAUUCUUCCAACGAAGGUACUAAAUGGGGUAUCUCUUUGUGAGCAGCUAUUUGGUCACAAACCAGACUAUCAACGACUUCGUGUCUUUGAAUGUCUUUGCUAUCCUCAUCUUCGACCUUUUAAUCGACACAAGCUUCAAUACAGGUCUGCUUCUUGUACCUUUCUGGGUUAUGCCUUCAAUCACAAGGGUUAUAAAUGUGUUGAUAGGUUUGGUCGGGUCUAGAUCUCUCGACAUGUUCGUUUUGAUGAAUCUAUUUUUUCGUUUGCUCAAGUUUCAAAGUCUAUUGUACCUGUCAUUGAUAACAGGUCUAAGCAGUUCAAGAGAGAUGUUACUACUUUACCCAUAUUCAUGGUUCCUACUGUUGAGGUUUCGGCUCAACCUGGGGCUGGUUCUACUUCAGUUAGUAAUACUAAUACUAUGGAUCAUUCGGAUCAUUCUUUGGAUGAUGCUCUCGACUUUUCUUCAGAAAGUCCUGCAGGUUCUUUAAGACAAGUCUGUGAGCAUUAGGCUCCAGUCGGUGAGCUGCAGCAGCCCUCAUCAGUAAAUUGUCAUCCUAUGAUGACUAGAAGGAAAAUGGGGAUUUACAAACCAAAAGCUUAUAUGGUAGAAAUGAGUGGUAUCGAGCCUUCAACUAUUCAUGAGGCAAUGGUAAUUCUUUUAUGGAAGUAAGCUGUGAAUGAUGAACUUCAAGCCUUAAUUCGAAAUUAUACUUGGGAUUUAGUUCCAGUACCGGCAAAUCAAGCGUUAGUCGGUUGCAAAUAGUUGUUCAAGAUCAAGAAAAACUCUGAUGGAAGUAUAGCACGUAACAAGGUUCGUUUGGUUGCUCAAAGGUUUUCUUAAACGGCAAGACUGGAUUAUCACGAGACUUUCAGUCUAGUUGUCAAAGUCAAUACUGUGCAGUUGAUACUUGCUUUAGCUGUGUCACGGAAAUAGAAGCUUCGACAGGUUGACGUGAACAAUGCAUUUUUGAAUGGAGACCUCACUGAGGACAUUUAUAUGAAGCAGCCUCCUGGGUUUGAAGUCGUUGAUGAGCAUGGGCAGCCUUUGGCAUGUAGCCUGAAUAAGGCCAUCUAUGGCCUUAAACAAACUCCAAGAGCUUGGUUUGAAAAGCUGAAGAAUUUUUUGGUGCAUCAACUGAAUUUUAUGCCUUCAAGGGCUGAUUCUUCCUUAUUUUACAAACACACAGAUGCUGGCAGUGUGUAUUUUCUUGUUUAUGUUGACGACAUUAUUGUUACAGGAGGAGAUUGUGUUGAAUUACAUGCUGUUAUUUCUUGUCUUGAUCGUCGGUUUUCUCUUAAAGACUCAGGGGAGCUGAGUUUUUUUCUUGGACUUGAAGUGGUAAGACAUCAGGAUCGUAUGCAUGUAUCUCAGCAGAAGUAUGCUCGUGAGUUGCUGAAACGUGCUAACAUGCUGCAUGCUAAGCCCGUGAAUACUCCUAUGGUGAGUUCACCGACUCUUACGUCCUUGGCUGGGGUGCCAUUACUAGAUGGUACUCUUUAUCGACGAGUGGUCGGCAGUCUGCAAUUCUUGUGUUUGACUCGUCCAGACUUGUCUUUUGCUGUCAAUAAAGUGAGCCAAUAUAUGCAUCAACCUCAUGAUGUGCAUUGGACAGUUGUGAAACGUAUCUUGCAAUAUGUUAAGGGUACAAUUGAUUAUGGGUUGUUAUUUCAAGCGUCUAGUCUGAGUUUAACUAGUUUUAGUGAUGCAGAUUGGGCAAGUUCGAUUGAAGAUCGCAAGUCUACUUCCGAUUUUUGUAUAUACUUAGGUGAUAAUCUAAUGGGUUGGAUGUCCAAGAAACAGAGCGUUGUCUCCCUGUCUACUACCGAAGCUGAAUAUCGAAGUUUAGCUAAUGCAACAUCUGAAGUGGUGUGGUUUCAAUCUCUGUUGACUGAGAUAGGAUUUAAGCUUAGUAGUACACCAGUCAUUUGGUGUGAUAAUACUAGUGCAGUUUCUGUAGCUGCUAAUCCUGUACUGCAAGCGCGAGUAAAACAUGUGGAGUUGGACAUUCACUUUGUUCGAGAAAAGGUUCUGAGUAAUCAGUUGUGUGUAAAUUUUGUUCCUGGAGUGAUCAGGUGGCUGAUGUGUUGACUAAGUCGUUAACGUUUGGAGAUUUUUCUCGCUGUCAGGAUCGCAUGAGUGUUGUUGCUGCUAGCAGUUUAUUUUCCGAUACUGGAAGCAAAAUGUUAGAGUAACUAUAUUAGUUAGUACUCUGUUACAGUUAGUUAAUAUUAUGUUAUAGUGAGUUAGAAAUCAGUUGUGAAGAAUACUGCUAUAUAAUGUGUUACUAUCUGUUUGUUAUCUUUGGAAUUAAUAAAUGAAUUUCUUUAUGUGUUUCUAAUAUUGGUCAGGCAUCGCAAGGUCCUAACAGCAUGACCCCUGAGUUAAAUUUAUUACAAGAAAUAGAAAAGAAUCUUAGGUUGUGUUUUCUGUUUCAACUGCCAUCAAUUGUUUGUUCAUCCGCAACUAAUUUAGCUCCUCAAAUAUAUGACAUUCUUCAUCCUUACCUUUACAACACAUCUCGGAUGGAAUAAUAAAUGGGUUGCCUCCGUUGGAUCUUUUCUACACUGAAGUGGGCUAAAACAUAGCGAUAUUAGUAAUUAUAUUUAUCAUUUUAAUUAGCAGCCGUCUUAGCUCAGCUGGUAGAGAGCGUGGCUUUUAACCACGUGGUCGUGGGUAUUCCCACAGACGGCGUCUAAUUCAUUUGAAUUUAUAAGUUUUAGCGAAAAGGAACACGCACGUUACCACUUUUAGUUUAAAAGCCCAGAUCAAUCUCACCCACUAUUUUUUUCCUCUAAAAGGUAAGUUUUAUUAUUUUCUGACAAGAUGAAAUCAUUCAAGCAAUUUAUUGUUAUUAAUAUUCAAUAUAAGCUUAUUAUAAAACUGCUAUUAUUUUAUAAAACAGGCUUCUGCAAUUUUGGUUUUGUGGAGGGGAUGGAUUGAACUCUGUUUAACAUGGCCUACUCCACCGGCCUAUUUUUUACCUAAAAAGACAAACGAUAACAACAUGGUAUUUCUUUUAAAAAAAUAAAAUAAAAUUAGAUAAGUUUGAUUCUUAAUCCGUAAAUUAAGAAAAAAGAAAAACCAUUUGUCUGGAAAAAUAAAUGUAUGAAAGAGCAUAUUCAGUCAGUAGAAUGAAAAAUAACAGAAUGGAGGCCAAAUUUUUUAUAUUUUUACUUGUAAAGCAAGCUUAGCAUAUUUAUAAAUGGAUGUCUAGGGUACAUCAUUAUCAUUAUUGGAAGAGAGGAAAUUAACCCAAAUGGCCCUUUUUGUUUUCUUCUUUUUUAUCUAAAUUUGGAAUGUGAUGUCCAUCAGAAUCAGAAAUGGCCCACUUCCUUUUAUCACAAUCUUCAAUAUAAUUGCCAUUGCAACAAAGACAAAGAAGCAAUUGCCUUUUCAAUUAUUUAACGUAGAGACACAAGAAAGACAUUGCAGAUCAAGAAAAUAUUGUUUUGGUUUAUCUAAAUCUCUCUUAUUCUCAUAGCAGUAAAAAUGAAACUACUAUAUGACUCGAGUGCUGCGGGCUGCAUGUUUUCUUUUGCUUUGCAGCCGCUUCAGCACCCCCACCUUACAACUUUUUUUGCCAUCAGCUGGAAUUUUUUUUACUGUUACCCACCAGCUUACUUGCAAUUCACAAACAAAAGAAAUACAAAAUGCAACACUCAUGACUCAAAUCCAACAACACACACAAUGGUCACUUGGUGACUUUGCUAUCUAUUUUUCUUUUCCGUAAAGUCCUACCCAAAAGCCCAUUUUUACCCACCCGCCAUUUCAAAUUUUCCCGAGAAAAUAAAGGAAAAUUGAAGGGCAGGAAAGAGAAAGUUAAAUUGAAGAAGUGGUAAUAAAAAUUAAAAGGGAAAAGAAGUGUGUUUAAAAUCAAACACGGAAAUUCUUUGCGGUGAAGGUUUGUCCGAACUGCCAAUUAGCUGGUGCCACGUUCCAGGAGGUGGAGGUUCUUCUAUCACUGCCCGUCACUCUAAACGAGAGUUGUUGGCCUACCAAAACGGCGUUGGACUGCCAGUUCUGACCCCAGUUACGGCUCAUGCUCAACCAACCGGUGUUGGUUCCUUUCACGCUCACCUUCACAAUAUCCCCCGCACCCGCCACGUUGGUGACCAAAACCAAGUUGAAAUAACGGAAUCCGUUGAUAGUGAAUCUAAUUCCACCUUGCUUUCGGCAUGGCACUCUGUCAAUCAAUCAAUAAUUUAAUAAGGGUGUUUGUGGAAAUUAUAUAAAUUGAAAGCCCUUUUUUCCUGCAUUAAUGAUGGUAUGUCGUCAAUUUUGUCGUUCAAGGAGGAUGUCUGAAUGGGCGGAAAAUCUUGGUGAUCCCCAAAUUUACAGUACUGCCCUGGUAAUCAUUGGGAAUCGAGAGAGGAGGGGUGUUUGGGUCAUUCCAGGCGUCACAGGAAAACCGUUGGAUCUAAGUGUGGGUAAAGGAUAUUAAAUUCUGGAUUGAUUCUCAAAAUCUCAACAGACCCCGAGAUAAUGAGGUCAUAAAGGGCGAUUCUUUUGAGGCCCUCCUUUUGCCUUUCCCAAGGAAGUACGUAAAAAGUUAUUUUAAUUAAAAACAAUACUGUGUUUGGUUCCUAAAUGUAUACACAUUUCACCACCCUUCUCUUCGUAAAAAUACUAAUAAAUGGAAGAGUAAUGAGGGAGACUGACCUGCGGAAGGAAACGGGGACAAUACCAGCACGGUACUCGGCGAUCUUAAGGAACAUAGGCAUGGCAAGGUCAAAGUGAGGGCGAGGAGGGUUACACCAGCCGCCAUUAUCACUUGGGAGAGCAUAGUUAGGAGGGCAAAAGUUAGUAGCAGUAAUAAAAAUGGAAGGGUUGCCUGGGUGGCACCAUCUUGGGUCAUCCGUGCACUUGAUCUCAAAGCAAGCUCCGCAGCUUAGCCCAUUGUUGAAAAUGGCUGUGCUUAAUGCUGCAGUGUUCACGCCAUACCCUUGGCUGUACAGAUUCCCAUACCCACAUGCACCGCCUUAACAAACAAAAAAGGGAAACAAUUGAAGACAUUUUAAUGGACAUGAAGAAAAUAAUGCAAUGCAAUAAAAUAAAAAAAAGAAGACGAAACAGAGAUUUUGUUGGAAAAUGCAUGUUAACAAAAUGGGUUAUUUUUUUACCGCUUUGCACUAGAAGUAAAACAAAAUAUUAAAUGUUAUAAGAUUAAUAGAAAGAAAGAAAUACCCAUAGUUCCAGAAGCAUCACUGCCACCAUAAAAAGUAGCAUGGGCAGAUUCCCAAGAGCCACCAGUAUAAACUCCAGGGAUUCUUGCAUUCACCAUGCCAAAAAGGCACAUCAAUGAAGCAAAGCAUAGCAGUGUCAAGGAAGAAGAAGAAGCGUCAACAGCCAUUGUUUUAUUUAAAGAGGAAAUUAUGAGAUAAAAGAAAGAAAGGGUGAUUCGUUAACUUUGGGGCGAAUGGAAAGCGGGAAGAAAGUUGGGGGGGGGUACUUAUUGAGGAACCGGAAGAGUGAAGAGUGGGGGCCCACAAUAAAUGAAUGCAGUCCAUUUCUCAUUAACCCCAUUUUUCUGCAAUUAAAAUUCAAACCUCACAACUUUUAUUAUUACUAUUUAAGACAUGUUUGGUUUUGUUCCUAAGAUUCCGAAAUUUGAAGGCCAUGUGGCUCACACAUGGACAGUUCUUAAUUUUGUUUUAGUCAAAGAGUGGUGCAAAAAUUGAAGACCUAAUUACCAUAAUUGGAAUGCUUGCACAUGCAUCCUUCACGUAAGAUGGUACUAGAAAGUUUAAGCUUUUUGAUUUCACACAUAAAUCAGUUCUUUUUAGAAGAAUCUUUAAAAUAAGGUUUAAUUAUUCAGAUUGAAACUUUGAAAUGCAACACUCAUUUGCUUAUGGAGAAAAUAGCGGUGAAGGCUCAAGUAAAAAAGUCAAUAUCUCGGAUAGGUGUCUCAAAGGUGUUGUUUGAAGAGAUGUUUAAAUAGGUGUUUGAACAAAAAGUAAAUCAGUCCUAACAAGUUCAGAGACAUAUUAGGAGAAUGGAGAUAGUACAAGUGUGAAAUCAUAAAUUAAACAAAAAAAAAGUUAAACUAAUACCUAAUUAUGUAGGUGAUUCUUUUUUGUUCACACAACUAUAAAAAUUCUCAAUUUAAUCAUUAAAUUUUUUUCAAAAUUUGAUUUUUUAGUCUACUGUUAAAUGGGUAAUGAAAAUCUAAUAAUUUUUAGAUUUCUACGUGGGUAAGUAAAGUAGUUUAUUGUUUCCUCUUCACUUGACUUAGCCGUCGUCGCCCUACUCCGGUGGCUAUUCCUAUCCAUUUACUUCAUUUUAUUGAAGGAAAGUAAUUCCUCCCAUAUUGUCACAACAAAUAUGCAUUGGAAAGUAAGUAAUGAACCACAUAAUUAAACAUUUUCUAUUACUAUAUUGAUAAUACAAUUUCACAAAUAAAGUAGGUGGGACUUUAAAGAUGCUACCAAUUGAAUUCUAAACUUUCAAUUUCCAAUAUUAUAAAACAUUUAAUUGAUUCAUCAACAUUCACAAAAUUUAUAAGAAAUUACUGAAUUAUUUGAAAUAUAUGCAAACUAAUAUAUAUUAAAGUAUUGAAAAUUGGCACUAGAAGAUAAACAGAGGGGUUAUUUGCAGCAUAAACCCCUUCGUAUUAUUUAUUUUUAUAAGGCUUUCUACUUUCUUUUAUUUACUAAUCUAGCCCUUUCAAUUUUAUAGUUAUUCUUAAUUCAAAAAUGACUUAAUAAUAUUAUUUACAUUAAUCAGUAUAUAUUUUCACUUAAUUAUGAAACAAAAUUGUCUUGUUUUUUCUCUGUUAUUUAUAAAAGGUUAAUUUUAUGACUGAUUAAUUAAUUGAAUUUUUUUAAUUAUAUUUAAAUAUUUAACUAAUAAAUAUUAAAAAUUAUAUUUUAAUUUUAAAUAAAUAUACAUAAUGCUCAAUAAAUAUUAAAAAUUAUAUUAGAAUAAAUAAUAAGGGUGCGUUUGGUUCAUCAAAUCCUAGAUUACGUUUAAUAAUAAAAUUACAAGAAUGUAAGAUUAUGUGUGCAAUAUAAGAUUAUAUUGUUUAGUUUAUUUAAUUGAAACAUAAGAUCCAUGUGUUUGGUUAAUAAAAUAUAAAAUUACCUAAAAAUAAAUUUUAUUGUCCCUAUUAUAAAAUUUUUACUUUUAUAAGCUUAACAUUUUUUAGCCUUAAAUUUUUUAUAAAAUUAUAAUAACUUAAGAAAUUUGUUUGCAUUACACCUUGAUUUUUUUUAUAUGAACCCAAUUUAACAAUGCUCUAAAGAACUUGGCUUGCUUUUAAUAUGAAAAGUGAGGUCAUUAGCAUCCAAGUUUUAUGUUCAAUUUAAUGACUUCCCAACAAGUAUAAAAAGAUUGAGCUUUUUUUUUUUUUUUUUAACAAUGUGCCUCUCUUUUUUAAUUUGUUAAUUUUUGUGGCAAUUUAGAUUUUGUUUGAUAAUAUAAGUUAUUAGUACUUAUUUUUAGAAUUUUUUUGUAAGAUAAGAAAAGAUAGAGGAUUUUAUUUUCAAAAAAUAGGACCAUAUAAAAAAAAUCUAGUUAAUUUAAUAAUUUCAUAAAAGAAAUAAAUUCAAGUUAUUAGUUUAACAUGAAACACCAAAAUGUGAGAGUACAGGAUGGACGGAAUGUUGAGAAUCCAAACACUACAAUCUCAUUUCAAAAUGUAACAUUAUGUGUCGCAAUGUAAAAUUCAGUCAACCAAAUGUUAAUAUCAUUUUAACAUUAUUCUAUUAAAAUUAAAUACUUACAUGACCUUAUUCAAAAUUGUGCAUUUAUAAUAACACAAAAAUAAAUUAAAUGUUAUUAUAAAACAUUUUAUAAUCCAUAAAUGAACAACAUUUAGCAUUUGUUAAUGCCCAUUUAAAAAUUUUACUAUGAAAGUUUAUUAAUUUUAAAUUAAUAUAUAAUAUUAUUAAAUAAUGAACUUUUGUUUUCUCUUUUAAAAAUUAAAAAUAAAAUGAUAAUUCAAACUUAUUUUAAAUAUUUUAUUUUUAUUUUUAACUUAUAUUUUUGAUAAUUCAAAUUACAAAAAUUCAGAAAAAUAAAUAUUUAAUUAUUAUAUUUUUACUUUUUCAACAUGAAUUAAAUAUGAUAUAUUACAAUUUAUACAUAUAAGUAAGCCAAUGCAUUAUACCAAAUAACAAACUCCUUGAAUUCUCAACCAAAUCUACUCAUUCCAUGAAUUCUAUGGUUUUUAAUCUUUCAACCCUUUCAACUCCCAUUGAAAAUGGACUAAUGAAUUACAUAUGAUUCUAUUUAUGGAUUCAUUUUUGUAUAUUUAUAAUAAACUUUAUUAAAGUAGUGUUUGUAACUAAAUUUAGUUGUAAUUGUUUGUAAUUACAUAAGAGUCAUGUGUUUGGGUAACCAUUAUUAUUGGUGGAUUUCACUGAAUUUGGUGUAAUUAGAGCACCUAAUUACACAUUCGAAUUCUUAAAAGGAAGGUGAGAAUUGAAGUAAUUAUGCAAGUAAUUACACUCAAAUAUAAUUAUCCAAUGACUUUCCAAACACUUAUACAAGAUUUAACUUUAAAAAAAUUGCAUUUUAUACCAAUUGAAAUUAUUAGAAUUAUAUUAUAAGAUGAACACGUAUGAGUGUUUGGAAUGGUUAUGGCAAAAGAAUUUCUAAAGUUAUAUUAUAAAUCCUAAAAAAUUAUAUUAUAAAAUAAUUUCUAUGUAUUUUAUAAAGUUAUAACCAAAAUAAUUAUAUUUUUUAAAUCCUAAAAAAAUUCUAAAGUUCUGACCAAAAUGUUUAUUAUAAAAAAUAAUUUACAUGUUAUAAAAGUGUUACAAAAAAUGUUAUAAUAUACUUAUUUAUAAAAAUUUAUGACAAAAAAGUAUGGAUGCAACUUAUUUACAUGUCUAUGCCAUAUAUGAUAAAAAAUAGUUAUUUAUAAAAAAAAAUGCUAUAAUUUUUCGUCAUAAUAUUUAUACAAGUGUUGUGAAAAUUAUUGGACAUUUUAUAAAACUUUUUAUAUAUUAUAAAUUUUAUAUAAUGUUUUACAUAAUUUAUGUCUUACAAAAAGGGUUAUAACCUAAGUUUUUCUCCAAAUUAAAUUUAUAUAAGUUUUUAUAAACAAAACUACAAACAAUUUGCACAAUGAAUCUAAAUAUUAUGCGGUAGAUGGCAUGCAAAUACAAAAGGGUUUUGUAUCAUAUAAUGGGUAUGAUAUCAUUUGAGAUAAUGGUGACAAACAAAAGCAAGAGAAACAACUUAUGAACUCUUUAAUUCGAGACAUUUAAAGUUGUGAAAUGUGAUUCAGAGGAUAUUUGUUGUUCUAAAAAAAGAUUUACUAUAUUAACAUCACUUCAAUAUAGGAUAAAAAAAAAACAAGGUUGGAUCAUACUACUAUGUUGCAUAGUUCAUAACUUCAUUUAUAGGUGUAAUUGGGAUAAUUUAUACUUUGAAAAGUAAAUGGGAAAAGAAGAUAUUGAUAAUAUUAAUUAUACAAAUUCAGAUGAUGAAGAACUCGAUCAAAGAUCAAUAAAUGAUAAUAAGGAGCAUAUGUUAAAUGUUAAACAAGAAAUAACCUGAAAAAUAUAGAACGCUUGUGCAAUUAGAUUAAAAUAUUUAUUUUUCUUGUUAUUUUUAUUAGUAAUCAUAUUAUGGACUAACAUAUGCAUAUUAUGAUUUGAUUUUAAUUAUUGUUAACCAUUUAGAACUUUUAUAGUAAGUAAUAUUUAAAUAAUAUAUAAAUUAUGUAAUUACAAUUUGUACUACUAAAUAUGUCAUAAGAAAUUUAAUAUAAUUAUACUCUAUCAAUCAAACAUGCUUUCGUCCAAUUACUUUAUACUAUCCAAACAAAAAUGAUAAUAAUGUUUUUUUCCAGUCUUUUUUUAGAAAGGCAUAAUGAUAAAACAACCCUUACGUUUACUUUUGGGAAAAUUAGCCAUUAUUCUUUCUUUUUAGUAAUUUUCAACAUCAAAUGAAAUUACUUGUAACGAUACAUGAUUAUAUGGAAAUAUUUAAUUGACGUGGCUGAAAUGAUGUGGUUAAAAAUUGUAUAAGCUAAUAACUAAACGCAAAAAGCCUUCAACAUCCCUCUCCUCAUUUCAAAGAAAAAUUGCUAAUUCCAAUCAAUUUGAGAAAUAAAAACAAACUGCUGAUUGAUUUGAAAAGUAAACCAAAUCUCCUCAUCUUUCACUUACACUUAUUUUAUUUAUUCUUAUGUUUUGGUUGUUGAGCUUCUAAAACUUAUUGUUUGUAAUUGUUGUCGUACAUCAAACAAUACAAAAUACAAUAUUGGUGAAUAGAACACAACUUAGUCUUUUCUUAGUUUAAUUUUAAUCAACUAAUUGUCCAAACAAUUCACCGAUACUUUAUGUAUAGAAGUAUCUAAAUUCUAUUGUAUUCGUCAAAUCUGAAUAUUUACACACUAUGUGUAGAGGUUAUCUGGAGUCAAAAUUGUUCGCCAAACCUGGGCUUCCUCAUGAUACGUAGCAUGUAUAUUUGGGAUGAUUGGGAAUGUUUCAUCCAUCAGAAUGAGUUGUGGUUUGAUAUGAUUUUAGAUAUGAUCUGACUAGUAUCCUGAUAUCUGCCAAAUUGAGUAUGUGAAUCCAUCAAAAGUUUGAUCCGUUCGAAGUUCACCUUAAAAGAUCAAUUAGUAUAAGUACCCGUCAAGAAUAAUAUCAAAAAGUACACCAUCCUGAUUGAAAUGUUCAACAUCUAUCUAUGUGAAAAAUCCAUCGAAAGUAGAUUAUGUACGAAUAUCUUUUUGAGAAAUGCAUUCGUUUUCUAAAAAGGAAAUAAGAACCGCAUUGAACGGUUGAUGUAGUUGUAAACCAACAUCUGACUAAGACAAGUGCACCUUUCAAUUAAUAGUAUAGCUACAGUGAGCAAAGAUAUCAUUCCCACGAAGACUAAAAGUGUUAGUAAUUACCGUCUUUCUAUUAUUUAAUCGAUAAAUUUGAGUGACUAAUUAAAACUAAAAUUAACUAAUUUAAUUAACUAACGAACACGACAAAGAACAAAUCAAGAAAAUAAUUGAGUAAAAAACCAAGAAGCGAAACAAUACCCAGGAAAGAAUUCAUCUAGAUUUCAUCUGUCAUUAUCAAUCUAAAUUACGUAAUUUCUUCACUUAGUAUCUUGAUUCAUAGAAAUCUCUAAAUUAUGAUAAUAUCUCUAUUCAAGAAUAAGAACAACUGACUCUAGGUUGAUUAAUUGAAAAUUUUCUCUAAUUAAAACCCUUAUUAUCGCAUUAACUAGAUCUAAGGUUUCCCCUACUAGAUUUGACUCUAAUCUGGUAGAUUUAUGUCGUCCUAUGUCUAGAAUUGCAUGCAACUCCACUCAAUUACACUAGAUCUACUCUUAAACAGGGUCUAUUUUUCCUCUGAUUUAAGUAGAUCAAACAUGGAUCAAUAGUUUAGAAAUAUUAAACCAAGAAUUAAACACACAUAAUUGAAAACAAGAUCUAAGUCUAUAUUGUGUAAAAUAAAUAUUAAAAGACAAAAUUCAUUAAAGGGUCCAUCUCCCUUAGGUAUUUAGAAAAUUAGUUCAUGCUUGCAAAUAAAAAAUCCAAAAUACAGUAUAACCAUAAGAAACAAAGAAACUCAUAAUAAUCUCCAAAGAAAUCAAAAGGGAAUAUUUAAUUUUGAUGGAAAUCUGCUUUAGAAUCCGUUUUAAUGAUGUUUUUCGAGUUGUUUUCUUGAAUAUUCUAUGACAGCUCACUUCUAUCUUCUUAUAUUUGUCAUAUAUAGGACUUAGAAUGCUCGAAAAACCUAAAACUUUUGUUUCCCAUAGUUCAAAGUUCAAAUUUGUGAAAUUGGCACAGCUUGCCACAUGGCCGUGUGGUUGCCCGUAUGCCACAGCUUGCUCAAAUUUUCUGGUUUUCACUUGUUUCUCACUCUUUUUGCUCCCAAAUACUCUCCUAAGUAUAAAAAUAUGAAUUUAAAGGAUUAGGAGCACAAAAUUCACUAUUAACAUCAAAUAAUCACCCCAAAAAGCAUUAAGAAUGAAACUAAAAUAUGUUACUUUUAGCAGCUAUCAAAUAUUCUUACACUUAAGCGCUUGUUUAUCCUCAAGCAAAAUCCUCAACCCACAUUCAAGUUAACUUCCAUCAAUUUAUUGUUUUCACCAAUAAUGUCUUAGGAUAAUUUACAGAUAAUUAUGAAUUGGAAAUUCACACUAAAAUGACACUAAACAGUACAAGCAAUCUAAGCAGAGAAUUUAAAGCUUUAAAAAUAUUAGGCAUCUCCCCUAUCUAAAAAAUUACUUGAAAUUCAAACUCAACAAGAAAUAACAUUCUUACUAAAGAUUCUCUCAAAGCACUCAAAGUGUUUAAAGUUCAAAUAAUGUGCACUCAACAAUCAAACGAGAAAUGUUAUUACCAUAGGCUUACUCAAAAGUUAAAUCUGCACCACUAUAAAUGAGAUGACAUACCAAUCAAAAGGUCUUUACAAGAUUGUAAUGGAGCUUAGGUCAAGGGUAUGGAAAAUGUCAAAAAAGUUGGUUAAAAUCUAAGGCAAGUUGAUAAGUUACCAAAUUAGAAAAAAAAAUCAAAUGCUGAAUUAAAGGUAUUUACAUCAACAAGAAAUAAAGAAUAAAAAUGAGUUGUUCAACACAAUAUGAAACUAACUAUUCAAGCUCAAUCAUGGAUUCCCCUAUUAGAUUUGACUUUAAUUUGGUAGAUUUAUGUCUUCCUAUUUCUAGGAUUACAUGCAACUCCACUCAAUUAUGCUAGAUCUACUCUUAAACAAUGUCUAUUCCUCCUCUGAUUUAAGCACAUCAAAUAUGGAUCAAUAGUCUAAAAAUACUAAACCAAGAAUUAAGCACACAUAAUUAAGAAUAAGAUCUAAGUCUUUAUUGCAUAAAAUAAAAAUCAAAAGACAAAAUUCAUCAUAGAGUUCAUCUAUCCUAGGUAUUUAGAAAAUUAGUUCAUGCUUGCAAUUAAAAACAUCCAAAAUACAGUAUAACCACAAGAAACAAAGAAAAUCAUAAUAAUCUCUGAAGAAACAAAAAGGGAAUCUUCAAUCUUUAUGGAAAUCUGCUUAAGAAUCCACUUCAAUGGUGUUUUUUGAGUUUUUUUCUUGAAUAUUCUAUUACGGCUCACUCUCAUCUUCUCAUUUUGUCAUAUAUAAGUGCUAGAAUGCUAAAAAAAACUUAAAAAUUGAGUUUCCUCGCAAUUUAGAGUCCAAAUUUUUGAAAUUGACAUGACCUACCACAUGGUUGUGUGGCAGCCCUUGUGGUUGACAUGGCUGUGUGGAUAGGCAGUAUGGAAGGGGUCAGCCCAUGUGGCCAUUGUACCUUACUCAAAUUUGCUGGUUUUCACUCGCUUUGCGCUCUUUUUGCUCCCAAAAGCUCUCCUAAGUAUAAAAACAUGAAUUUAAAGGAUUAAGAGCAUAAAAUUCAUCAUUAACAUCGAAUAAUCACCCAAAAACGCAUUGAGAAUGAAACUAAAACAUGUUACUUUUAGCAUCUAUUAGUGGUAAUAUCUAAAAUCUGCCUAAUGAGUGAAUUGUGUGUAGGUUGGUCAAGUAUGAAAAUUGGCGUAAAUAUAUACGUCGAUAUUAGAAAAAUACCCGCCAAAGACUGAAAAGAAAUCCAAAAUCUUCGAGUGUGGAGUUCAACAACAAACGCUUCAAGGUAACUUAGGUUAAAAUUCGCUAAGUUUGUUUGAACUUACAAGUAUCUGUUUAUGAUGCAAGUUCUGUUUAAUGAGUUGGUAUGUCAGGAGGGACCAAGUCAGGAAUGUGCCAAGGUGACAGUUGAAGUUGCAAUAUUAUGCAUACAGGGGCACCAUAGUAAUAUCACGCUUAGUUCUCUACAUCAAAGUUUUAAGUUGUAACGUCAUAUGUUGCUUUUGAAAAUUUGGUGUAAUUAUUAAACAUUCUCUUUUAUUAAUCCUUUGUUUUUAGACAGUAAAUAAAUGAAUAAUAAGUAUGUUUUAGAAUGAUUUUGUGCUUGUUGUAAAAAUUAUGCUAAGUGUUUAAGUUUUGUAACAUUUAAUAUCCAGAUCUAGUAUUUUAGGGUGGGAUAUAGGGCGUUAUAGUUGAAUUGUCUUAUUUAACUUUUCCUAAUAAAAAAAUGUUAUAAAAUCAUGUACAAUUAAUGUAAUUGUGUAAAAAUAGGGUGAAAGAAAUCAAAUCAUUUAAAAAUUAAUCAAAAUCAGAAGGAAAACAUAAAAGGAAGAAGUGAACUUAUCUUGGGUCAUUAGCGGUUUAUAGAGCUUUGACCAUCACUUUGCGAAUCCUAACGAUGAAGAAAUAGCCACCAUUGAGAAAAGUAACAUAUCUCAAAAUUAGACCAAUCUAACGACCGAUGAGAAAGAUUCAAGUUCGAGAAGCUUGGAAGUUUCUUGGAAUAUUUGAAAAUUUCUAGUGAUUUUUCAAGAAAAGCAUUUAGAGAAAAGAAGAGAAGAGGUUUCAUGCUUUGCUUUGGGUGCUUUUGGACGAUGUUUUAUCAUCAGAGUGAAGUGACAAUAAUACAACAAGAUGAUAGGGCUAAGGUUGAAGGGAAAAAGAGAAGGAAAAUGAGAAACAAUAGUGAGAAGAGAAGAGUGCACCUGUUGUCAAGAAAAUGAUCGGUGACGACACGAGAGAAGUGGCGACCGCAACAUUGGAAAAGCGACGACGAUAGUAGAGGUGGCUAGGGUGUCUAUGGAGAAGAAAAAGAGAAAAGAAGAUAAAAAAAUAAGGAAAAUAAAAGAGAUAAAAGGGAAAAUAAAAAAAUAAAAAAAUAUUUAAAAACAUAAAAGCCACAUGGAUUUAUUGUGUUAAAAAAUUCCCACACAGAUGCCACAUCAUAUUUUAGUAUUUCUAAUGAAAGUAUAUCAAAUUGACAAAACAUUAUUAUUUAAGGGCUAAAAGAAAUAAAAAAAGAAAAAAAAAGUAAAGGGCUAAUUUAAUUUUUUAGAGAAAGAUUGAGGGUGAAAAAUGUCAUUAUGCGUCUCCUUUUUUCUUCUUCUUUCAUUUGUUUGUUAUAUAAUUUGUUACUUUCUGUUAUUUAUUAAUUCCUCUACUUAAAUCUUAAAGUUGCUAACUUUGCAUUAGGUAAAGUCUAAAGUUGAGUAAUUUGAAAAAUUAAAAUUUUUAUUAUUUAUUACUAUAAAUGGUAAGAAAAUAGUAAUUUUAUAUAUUUUUAAACAUAUUUAUGUACCAGUUGGUGUAUAAUGUUUUUGACAAGUACAAUUAGAAUUAGACGAAACUAGUUAAUGCAAUUGAUAUUGAUUAAAAUUUUUAUUGAUGUGAAAAAAAAAACUGAAUAUUCCAUAAUAUGUGACUGAAACAACACUAAUUUAAAAGAUACAUAUAUCUUUUUUAAGUACAUUAGAAAUAAAAUAUUAAAUAAGAUAAGUGGCAGAAUUUUGUUUUUAAUUAUGAAUAAAAAUUCUUACUGAAUGAUUGACAAAAAAAUAAAUAAAUAAAGUUAAAAAAAUACCAUGUGCCCUUUCCCCUGUUCUAAAAGCUGUGCCCCAAAAACCCAUUUUCAUCAUUGAAGAAAAUCUUGAAAAAAACCAAAAAAAGAAAAAAAAAUCCAAUAUCCAACCCUCUCACAUGUGAAUCAAAUUAUCGUUUUGGUUGCUUCUUUUUCUCUCCAAACUUUUCCCAUCUCAUAUGUCUAAGACUAGUAUAUUUAUAACCCACCCCCAUGUGCCCUCACUUAUUGCUUUAUAUACAAAAUACAUCUUCAGUUUUCCGAUUUAUUUUUAUUUGUAUUAUCAUGAUGUAUUUUUUAUAAAAUUUUUACUGGAUUAAUAUUUAUUUCACAAACAGUGUCUUAUUUUUAAAAAUAAUAUUUUAUUAUUCUUUUAUACAACACCUUGAAAACUGGGGUCAUAAUUUGUAUAUAUUAUUCAUUCCUAAUAAUAUAUAUAUAUAUUCUUUAUCUUAUCUUGUCUUGUUUUCAAAUAAUAUUAUAUUCUCUUCUGGAUUUAAUUUCACUUGUCUUUUCUUGAAUGCUAUUUUGUUGGAUUUGAAAUUUGAUGGCUUAUCUUGAAAUGGAAGUUUUCAUUCAUCUAUGGCAAAACUAAAAAAGGAAAAAGAAAAACAGACAAAAAUGUCUCUUACAAGGUGAUGUGAAGAGACAUUUACUAUAAUGUGAAUAAGUUACACCCUUUCAAUAAAAUAAGUUUUUUAAUCUGAUUAUAUUAUUCAUCACAUUUUGAUGAUCCAUUAUACCAACACUUGUAUGAUUCGGUUGGCGAUAUAUAUGGGAAUUUGAAAUGGGUGUGAUUUUCUUUAAUUAAAAAGGGGGAGGAGGUUGAGGGGGGUCCGACCAACCACAUCUAAGUAAAUCUGCCACAUCAGCAUCAUAUUGAAGGUUUCCAAGUGCUUCUUCAUCUCCCUCACCAACACAUUACCAAUCCGGCUUCGCUGCUCAUGCAUGCAUGCAUAGCCCAUAUCUUCUCAUAUAUUAUCUAUAUUAAAAACCAAUAAAAAUAGGAAUUUAAAACAUUCCAUUUAUCAUUCAUCCAAAAUUUAAAUUCCAUUUAUCUCUUUUAAUUGUAUAUAUUAAUAAUGUUAUUAAUUAAGUUAUUGUCACAAAUUAACUUGACACUAAUUUAUAAUUGAUAACAACACUAUGAUAAAUAAUUACGGUACAUUUAGUACUGUCAAUCUGAUAUAUUUAUGCAUUUAAAUUUUAUUUACUCACAAUUUAAUCUAUUUUUUUAUUAUUUUAAUAUCAUACAUAUUUUAUUUAUUAUUUAUGAUUAAUUAAUUACAAACUAUACAUUUUAUUAUUUAUUACUUAUUCUAAAUUUGUGACUACCACGUACAUACAAAAGUGAUAAGUUUUAUGUAGCUGAAUAACCAAAAUUACAUAUAAAGUUUUUAUGAUGAAAGUAAAUGCAUAGGGAUUACACAAGCUUAAUCACUUUUUUAGUGGCUACAAAAUGCAUGAUAGAAGUGAAAUUUAAGUUAAAUGGAGGGGGUUUGACCUUUUGCAUAUGAUUAAGAUGAGUAAUCAAGUCUUUGGAAACAAUGAUAGCAAAGUCUUCUCAUUAAUACAUACUUAUUAAACACCUUUCACCCUUCAAAAAUUCAAAAACCUUUGAAAAUAAUGUACCCCAAUAUUAUUCUAAACAAUAAACAAUGUAAAUAAAACACAAUAUUGAUUGAAAAAGUAGCAACAUGCAAUUUUUUCUCUCUAAAUUAUAUAAAUGUAAUUCCUUGAUUCCUAAUAAUUUUCUAAACUAUGUAUCUUACUUGGGUAGUUAUAUUAUAUUUCCCUUUCCAAUGCAUUAAAACUUAAACAUAUAUCCCUCUAUAUAUAAUUUUGUUAUAUAUUUGAUUAAAAAAAACAUAUAAUUCUUAUCUCCUUUUUUAAUCUUUCAAAUUUAAAUCAUCAUAUUUUUCAAAAAAACUGAUAAGUCAAUCCAAUUAGUAAUGCUAUUGAACCUUACUAUUAAAUUGUUGAUCUAAGAAAUAGCAUAUCAUCAAUUUAUAUGCAAUGAAUUACCAAAAAUCAAUAUUUCAACAAUUUAUAUACAAUAAACUAACAAAGUCAACCAUUAAAGUUUAUGUAUUUACUAAAAACUAAAUUAACUUCUCAAUUAUCUUAAAAUACAAUGAUCAAAUUCUAAUAAAUUAAGUUAAAAUAUUAUUUUUUGAAUUUUUGUAAAAUAAAGGGAUGAGAAUUAUAAUAAAAAAAACCCCAUUGAAACUGAUGUAACCUAAAAUUAAAUAUAAUUUGAUUCACAACUUAAUAAUCUUACAUAACAAUAAUAAUUAAAAUACAAACAAAUUAUGCAACGAAUCAAAUAAACUUAAUUAACAAAUCAUGAUCAAGACAAUAUGCAAAAAUUACGGUAAUUAAAGGUUAUGUUUUAUAUUUGAAAUUCAGAAUUAGGAGAGUGUUGUUCUUGUCAUCUUUUUAUUGUGUGGUCAUGUGAAUAAAUAGUGAAUAAUAUGUAAUAUUGUAAAAAUUGAACCAUUAGUUAAACUAAUUAGACCACUGAUUUUCGGUUCAAUUGUUUGACCACCAAUCAUAAAAAAAUAAAAAAAUCUUAAAAAUACACAAAGAAAAUUAGAAAAAAAAAACACAAAUAAAUAAUAAUAGAACAAUAAACAUUCAUUUUAUAAAUUAUAACAACAAAAUUAAAUAUUUAAACUAGCUUUAACCCAAUUCAACGGGUUUUUAAUCGAUCAGUUCGAUUUUUGCAGUUCAACCGAUUUUAUUGAUUUUAUGGUAUGAAAUGUGACGGUGACUUUCUAGGCCUACAACCCAAGUGCAUGUUAUAUUCAAGUAAUAAAAUCUUGGGAGUUUGAGGUCAAUUCACAAAGAAGUUGAUUAGACCUAAUUACAAGAUUACAAGUAUUAUGCUAGAACAAAAAUUUAACACUUAAUUUUGGAAUAAGCAUUGGUGAUGAAAGUAGUAGCUAGAAACACUAGAAAUAAAAAGUCAAUGCAAGAAAUUAACUACAAAUAAUAAAAAGCAAAUACCUGGAAGAAAAUAUGUUGAGGUUAAAUGCUCAACUCUUGGUGUCAUAUUAAGAUUGAAUUUUAAUACUCAAUGUUAUUAAAUUAGAAUCCACACAUAAAUGGAGGUCCUAAAUGGAUGAUCUAGUAAUGUACGCCCACUAAUUAAGCAUAUGAAUCCAUGAGCUAAGGUAUGUCCAUCAAUGGAGUGUCCAAAAUGAUUGUCCAAUAAGUUUAAGAGUUUAGCAAAUGAAUCCAUAAGCAAAGGAUGGUGCCAUAUGACAGUUCAACUGUUUAAGUCCAGUCGAACCAUAUGGUAUUUGUAACGCCUCAAAUUUUGAACAUUUGUUUGAUAAAUUAUGUCAAUAAUUAAGUCUCUAUAUUUGUGGUUAAGUGUUUUGCUUAUGUGUUUGAGAUUGAGGGUUCGAGCAUUCUUUUUUGAAUUUUACUGUUUAUUUUGGUUUAACCCCUAUCCUUGAACUCUCGACUUAAGUUUAAUUAUGUGUGAUUCUGUGACAAUAAUGAGUCUGCUGGUUCAUAGUUAAGCUUCUGUAUAUCUUUUGGUCCUAUGUUUGGGUCUCUGCAUAUGAAAUAAGGAUAUAUGUUUUUAUACUACUCUGUAAAAAUUAUGUUAUUUUAAAUUUUAUUUAAAUGGUUUCUUUCUCUCUUUUCUUUUCUUUUUAUAUUUUCCCCUUUUGUUUGUUCUUGUCAUUCUUUUUCUUCUUCGGUUUUAUAUUUUUUUCUUUUUCCUUAUUUCUUUUUGUUAAUUAUUGCUAUCGUUCUGUUAGGGGAAGUACGCAUCUCAUUGUUUCGAUAAACGGUUAAUCGUGUAAGUUGUCAUUGAAUUUCUGUUAAUGUUCAGUCUUGUAGGUUUUUGCCAAAAAAAUUGGUUCUUGCUUGUUCGUUCGAUUUUUCUUGUUUUAAGUUUCGAUUGGCUUUCUUUUAGGUAAGGAUCUUGACGGUAACGUCCCUUCAAUGAGUUAGUCCCGUGUGUUGCUAUUAUGUACGAGGGUGAAUGCCUAAUUUUCGAGUUGGGUUUUGCGUCGAAGUUUUCAACGUAAAUUGGUUUGAAUGUCAACUUAGUGCUUUAGCUUAAUUUAAUCAAGUAAUUGGACAAUUGGUUGUCGUUUUUAGGUUUUGGGAUCACCUCUAUUGCUUCUACGUCAAACCCGUACCAAGUGUGUAACAAAAACCUGAAAUCUUACGAACGAUAGAGGCUAAAAAACAUGGCUGUCAAUGCCACACGACUAUGUGUCAGGCCUUAUGGUAGGCCGUGUGAGCAACACAGUUGUGUGUCAAGCUAUGUGGUAGGUCAUGUAACUCAUUGUUUUAUAAUUAGAGGCACACGGGCUAGAUGUAACGACCCGAAAUUCAGUGAUAUUGGCAAGUGUAUUUUCGAGACUCCAUUUCCAUAAAUGGGGCUCGUAAAUGUUUUUAUUAAAUAAUUACGGAGUUUCCUUAGAGACGAAUUGAAUGUUAGAUAAUUUUAUUGAAUUAGUGUUCAAUUUAGGUUUAAGGACUAAAUUAUUUAAGUGAUAGAAAUACGGAUUGAUAUUAAAUUAUAAGAUGGAAUUUAAUUUAGGGGUUUAUAAAGUAAUUAAGCCGUUAUAUUUAUGUUUCAAUAGUGGCCGGUUAUGGCUUAUAAAUUAUAGGUAUUAUAUAUAUUAUGUAUAAGAUAAAAAUUUAAGUUAAAAUUGUGGUUAAAAUAGUUAUAUAAUAAAUAAAACUUAAUUAAUUAAUAAAAUAAAGUGGGAAAAAAACAAAAGACAUUUGAUAUUUUCUUUCAUGCAAAACCAAAAAGAAGGAGAAGAGAUUAAGGGAUAAUGGCUUUGGGGCUUUAAAUCGGUUAGUAUAUUUUGGUCCUUAUUGCAUAAAUUUUAUGUUUUUGGAACCUAAGAUCUUGAGUUAGCUUACCCAUGUUAAAAUUUUUAGAAUUUUUGAGGUUUAUAGAAGUUGCUAUUAAUGAGAAAUUGAAGUUCUUAAUGUUAUUUUGAUAAAUUUUAAGGGUAAAAGUGAAAUAGGAUUAUUUUGUAAAGUUAAUUGAUAAUUUUGUACAAUAAGGACUAAGUUGUGCAAAAUUCAAAUUUAAGGGUUUAAGUAAUAAGUAGGAAGUCCCAUAGGGACUCUAGAAAAAUUUGGUCUAAUGUUGGGAGGCUUUAUGAUAAAAUAUGUUAGUAUCGGUUUCGAGGAUUAAAUUGAAAUUUAUGUUAAAUUAGUAUAAAUUUUAUAAUUAAAUAUGAAUUGGUAUAUAAAAUGUUAAUUUAUUAUAUUUGUUUAAUCCGUAGCUAACAUUGAACUAGAAUCCUCGAGUAAGAAAGGAAAAAGGCAAGGUUGUCGGCGAGUAGUUCAAAAAUUACGGUGUGUGUUUCUAUAAUCUAAAUUAUUUAAAUUGUUGUAUUGAGCAUUAGCAUUAAAUAAUGAGUUAAGGUAAGUUACAAAAUUGGUUUAAUGUGAUAUGUUUGAAAUGGUUGAACUAGUUACUUGUGAUUAGGAUUUUAUUGAGUAUUAUUGAAAUUGAAAUUGAAGUUGAUUAUGUUAUGGAAAGAAAUGAUGUUGCUAUGAGCAUAUAUUCAAAUGAUUGAAUUAUUUGGAUUGAUGAAAUUGUAUUGUGAAAUUGGGAAGUUGAUUUAUGAAUUAAAUUGAGAAUUUCGUUACCCUAUUAACUGUUUGGGUAAGGUCAAUUAUGUAACACCCCUCACCCGUAUUCACCGUCAGAAUAGGGUUAUGAGGUAUUACCAAUCAAUACACAUCAUUUAACAUUCAAUACGUAUACAUUUAUGCAUUCAUACUCAAAUACCAUUUAACACAAACACAUUGUCCCUUAUAAGAGCAUACGAGGCCUUAAACAUGAUUUAAAAAUAAUUCGGGACUAAACUGAUAACAUAUUAAAUUUUUGGAAAACUUAGAAAUUUUUCAUUCAAUCAGGGGUCACACGCCCGUGUGAACAGGCCAUGUGCCUCACACGGCUUCAGACACGUCUGUGUCACAGGUUGUGUGAAAACAGGGCAUACAUACUGACUUGGGUCACACUGCCGAUCACACGCCCGUGUGUCUAGCUCAUGUGCCUUUCGAAGUCGCCACACACGCCCGUAUGCCAGACCGUGUACUAGGUUGUGCCAAAACUGUAGGGUAUACUGACUUAUGCAACACGGCCAAGUUACACGCCCGUAUGCUAGGCCGUGUGCCAUUUAGGGGGUAUAUUGACUUGUGCCACAUGGCCAGUCACACGCCCGUGUGUGAGGCUGUGUGGAGCAUACUAACUUCAAUUUAAUUUACAUACCAGGGGACACACGGCUGUAUAGCAUGACUAUGUGUUGCACACGGCUGAGACACACGCUUGUGUCCCUGCCCAUGUGGACAAAAAUAGGCCAUUUGCAAGGCCAAUUUGCCACCCUUUUUUAUGAUCACCUAAACAACCAAAAUGGCACCAUUUCAUUAUACAAUAGGCGUUUCAAAAUCACCAACCAAAUGCACAAUUUAUAGUAUAUCCAUUUCAACCAAAUUUAAUACCCAAAUUAAUGUCAAUUACCUAUUCACACUUAUAUCAUCAAUCAUCAAUUCAUAAGCAUAAAACGUCUCAAAUUAUCAACUUCAAUCACACCAUGUAAAUCAUUUAUCAAACUCAAAAUAUAACCAUUUGAGCAAUUAUGAAAUCAUAACCACAUUUAUACCAAAACAUACUAAAAUAAGCCAUCACUCAUGGCUAUAUAUACAAAACAAAACAUAUACAUUUACAAGCCAAACCAUAGGGCUAUAUUCACAACAAAAGUACCAUAACUAGCCUAUACAUGCCAUAAACCAUAUAUACACAACUAAAAGUACCAAUUAGACAUUUGAUAGUGCGAUGAUGUUCCCGACGACUCCCGGAUCUGAGCUAGCCUUGAUUCUCUAUAAAACAUAAGAAAAUAAUACAAAGUAAGCUUCAUAGCUUAGUAAGUUCAUACUAAUAUACUCAACAAUUCAUCAAUUUAAACAAGUUAAUGUAUCAUUCAUGAUAAAAUCAAACCUUUCAUAACUUAUUCAUAUACUAAUAUGCAAAGUCAUAAUUUAUUUUAUUUGAUCUCCAUACUUACAUGUACAAACCUGUACAAAUUCAUAACGAACUCAUACCUUUCAAUAGCACUGUCGAAUACUCAAUAUUUCGCACACUAAGUGCCAUCGCAAAGCCGAAGCUAUUAUAAUUCUGCACACUAAGUGCCUUACUCGAUGUUUCAUACACUAAGUGCCGUAUAUAGCCGAAGUUAUCUCAAAUCGCGCACUAAGUGCUAAACAUUGUCAAUUUAUCGUCGAACAUGACCGUAGUCUCGUAUAUACAAAUUAUGAAAUAUCAAAGCGUUAAAAGCAUAACUGUAACAAUUUUUAUCAUGUGCAAACUUAUCUCGUAUUCGAAAUUAACGGAUCAGAUCGACUAUUCGAUAACCUUGCUUUUCCCCCAAUCUAAAUCCAAAUCCUUUCUUUCUUGAUCUAUAUGUAUUCAAAAUUAACUCAUUUAAUCAUCCAUUCACUCGAUUUAAUCCAAAACAUAUAUUUGGGAAUUUUUACACAUUAGCCCCUAAACUUUCACAUUUAUUCAAUUUAGUCUUUAUUUCACAAAUACACAAAAUUCACAAAAUUCAAAAAAAACCCAUGCUUGUCUGAAUUUCAUAUAUGUCCCUAGCAGCCCAAAACUUUCAUUUAUUUUACGUUUCAACCCCACAAUUUGCAUAUUUUACAAGUUAACCCUAUUUGACAUUUUUGUCAAAAAUCACAUUACAAAACAUGAAAAUCUAUCAUUAAACUUUCAUAAUCUAUCAUCAAACCUAAAAGAACACAUAGAUUCAAUAAUGAAAACUCUCAAAAUCUUUAACAGUUUCAAAAUCUAAGGUACGGGCUAGCUAGAAUACAAAGCAACGAUUUCAAAAACGUAGAAAUUAUUAAAAAUCGAGCUCAAAACACUUACCAAUUAAAGCUCACAAGUGCCAAACCUUAGAAAGCUUCAAUGGCUUCUCAAAACAUGUAAUUUUGGUGGUGGAAGAUGAUAUUAUGAAAAUAAUUUAUUUUUAUUUCAUUUAAUUUAAUUUAAUUUGACAAAUUACCAAAUUAUCCUUAAUAAUAAAACAUUUUUAUCAUCCAUUUAAUGUCCAAAUAUGUCCACUCACCAUUCAAAUGAUCUAAUACAAUAUAAGGACCUUAAAUUUAAUAAACCAUAGCUAUUUGUCACCUUUAACAAGUAGAAUGCAACUUUUGCAUUUUACGCGAUUUAGUCUUUUUUUCUUAAAUUAACGAACCAAUCGAUAAAAUUAGCUCACAAAAUUUUUAGACAUACAUACUAUCAUGCUGUAAACACCAAAAAUAAUAUUAAAAUAAUUUUCCAACAUCAGAUUUGUGAUUCCGAAACCACUGUUCUGAUUUAGCUAAAACCGGGUUGUUACAAGGUAUAAUUGGCAUGCCAUAGGAUAUGAAAAAUUUAGGGUUUAAGAUUACUUGUCAGAGAGUGUUGGGCACUCUAUUUUUCAGUUUUACUAGCCAACACAGGGCACAAUUUAUUUUUACAGAUUAUUUCGUCAGGCACUGGGAGCCAAAUUUGGUGUGUUGGUUGGAUCCGUGUAUCCGAGUCCGAAUCAUGAUAAUAAGGAAAAUAAAUAUAAAGUGAUGAAAUUGGAAAUGAAAGUAGAAAUAAAUAUGGAAAUAAAUUUUUUAUAUUUUAUAAUGAAUAUAUUAAUGGAAAUGUGAUGAUUCAUGAAAUUUCAUAUGCUUAAAUUGAAGCAAUGUAUGUUUCUUUGCAUUACUUGAGUUGCAUUUUAGAUAAGUAAUUAAAUAUCUUGUACCAUGUUUUAAUACUUUGAUUAUGGAAGCACCCUAUAACGCCCCAAAAUUUUAAGAAUUUAAUUAUGAGAUUCUGCAGUAAUUAGAAUUCUGUAUCUCUGGUUCUGUGUUUAAGAUCGAGUUCCGUUACUAAAAGUGUUGUUAUUUUAAAACAACCCUUAUCCAUGUGCUAGGUGGUUAAGUGCAAUUUCGGGUAAAUUAGUGUCAAGAAUGAGCCUAUUGGUUCACUGGUUAAGCAUCUGCCUAUAUUUUAUCUAGUUCUGAGUUCAAAUAUCGUUGUGCACAUUAGGAAAUAUAUUUUUGCAAAUGUUGGAAGGGGUGGUGGUUAACUUAAUUAUUCUAUCGUUCUUCUAUUUUUUUUCUUUCUUUAUUCUAAAAUUUUAGUUCUUUGUUUUUCUAUUCUUUCCUCUUUUAUUUUUCUUCUUUUGCCAAUUGAUUUUUAUUUGGAUUGGGAAGUCUUGUUGCCUAUGAGGUCGAUAAUGUGUAAUUUCCGUUGUGACUUCUUUUCAUUUGUGAUUUUCGUUGUGUUGACAUUGUUUUUUUUGUUGAAAUGGGAUUUUGCUUGUUUAUUUUAUGUUCUAUUAAGUGCUCGAUUUGUUACUUUGUUUAGGCAAGGAUAUUGCAAGAGACGUUAAUCCACCGUAUUAGUUUGAUUCCUCUUAUUUAGCAUGAGGUGAGUGUGGGGAUUGGAAUAGAACUACGUCAAAUCUUUCGACAUGAUUUUAGCGGUAGGUUAAUUUUGCUAAGUGUUGAAAUUGAUAGUGUAAUUGAUUGUGGAAUGAUUAAUUAGGUUCCGGGUAGUCGUCGUAUUGUUUAUUUAUCAAAGCGAAAUCAGGUGUGUAUCGGAAACUUAAAUUUUGCAAGUUUUGGAUCACCGGAAAUGGUGGCUGUCGAUGCCAUAUGGACGCGUGGUUGGUCAUGUGAUCAGUCAUGUAACUAACUGUUUACUGAAUUGGGGCCACACGGGCAAGGCACACGGGCAUGUGUCUAGGCCGUGUGUGGCCAUGUUAGUACAGGGUUCACACGGGCUAGGGACACGGACGAGUGCCCUGGCCGUGUAACUCACUAUUUACGAGACAAGACCAUACGGCCAACGACACAGGCGUGUGCCCAGCCAUUUAACUCAUUAUUUGUGGUAUAAAAACCACGCGGUAGGGACACAGGUGUAUACCCAGUUCGUGUGAGUGACACGGGCAAGGACACGGGCAUGUGUCUAGGUUGUGUAACUCACUGUUUAUGCUUUAGAGUCAUACAGGCAAGGCACACGGGCGUGUGACCAGACUGUCUGGCAUAUAGUUGAGGCCUGAAGCCUGAAUUUGAGGUUGAAAAUGUUACCUAACACUGAUACCGGCUUCUUUAAUGUAUGAAUGAUAGAAAUUGAUGAUAUUAGAACUGUCUGAUACUUUGAGAUUAAUUUGUGAAUAAUUUAGUUAUAAACAUACUAUAAUGCUUAUUCAGUUAUUGAGUUAUCUUAUUAGUUGUGAAAUGAACUGGAAUGAACGAAUACAUGAUACUGGUACUUGUGUUUUGCAUUUACAUGGGUUGAGAUUGUAGAGCCCAAUUUAGCCUGGGCCCAUAAACCAGAAACCUAAUAACAAAAAAUAUAAAGUCCACAAGUCCAUUUUACAAAGCCCAAAAUCCAAACUCAUUUACAAUAACCCAAUUCUAAACCCAACUAGCUUAGCCCAAAAAUUCAAAGCCCAAAUGGCCCAAAAUAUUUCAGAAACAAAAAUUGGGGUUUCCUUUGCACCGUAGCUGGCCUCCCAACCCUCGUAUAGCCUCCAGCGCGCCUUCGUACGGCCUUCCCGCACCACCACACGCCACGUCACUUCCUCCGUACGCCUCAGCUGGCCUUGUACUAGCUCAACAUACAAAAAUAGCAGCAGAGCACAAUAGCAGCAGAAGAAAAAGAGACAAAAAAUAUUGUAUUGUUUCUAUUUUCGAGUAUAAAGCCAUCUUUUCAAUUGUAUUAAGGGGGGAUAAAAUACGAGAGACAAACAAAAAGCAAUAAAAAACUAAGGUGAUUUCGGUGCCUCACACUUUCUCUUUUUCGAAUUUGCUUCAUCUUUCUUGAUUUUGCAUGUGAUUUCUUAGUAUAAUAAAAAUCAAAACGAAGACUUACUUUCGUGUAUGAGCCACUAGAAUUUAUCAUCUUCGUCGGCAUCGAAGUUUGAGAAGAUUUCAAGGCUAAAAUUGGCAAACCAAAGCGCUGGGUUCUGAACAAGGGGGAAAAGGGACAUCAUCGGAGAUCAUCAGUCAUCGUUUGUAGUGAUGAAAUGAUGGCUAAGCGGUGCAAAACAUUUAGGGUUGCCUUUUCCCUAUUGAUUCUGCCGAAAUGUUUAAGUUUUUAGAGACUUUAUCCUCUUUUAAUGGGUGACACGAAACGCUGCAGUCUAAGGCAUGUUUAAUAGGCCUAAGAUGACACCGCAUAAUCCCAUUCGACCCGAUCCAAUUCUUUGCCCCCAAGAUCAGCGGGUCUUUGCGGAGAGGGGACAAUUGCGCAAUCGGUCCUUCUUUUUCGCGCUACCAUUCAAUCACAUGUUAUUUGUUUAUUUCAUUUUUUUUAAUUUGGCUUGGCAAUUUGCACAUAUACACAAUUUAAUCCGCGC